UUUUUUUUUUUUUGUUUUGUUUUGAAAGGACGGGGCCCUACUGCCCUUAUGCAGGAUCCAAAGCACAAGUUCUUGGACCAUGGAUGGAAUCAGGAAGUAAGUACACUGGAUGUCUCCCUGCAUGUGGGCUCAUGAGAGGCAUGCAUGACCAAGGGUUUCCAUGCAUUGGCAUCAGGCUUGCAUGAGGAACUGGACCCAAUUUAAUAUUUUGGGGCCCGGUCCAUUUUGGAUUGGAUUCAAUGUGUUCCAGACCAGACGGCUACCAUCUUGACCCUGCAUUGAGUUACAAGUUCAGUUUCCUAACAUUUUGACUGGCAUUCAGUGUUGCUGCUGUGCAGUGCCCAAGUCUCAAGGUUUCAGUACAGCCAUGCCUGCGCCAGUUUGGACUGGCUAGAUUCAAGAAGAAUCCAAAGCACAGAUUCUUCUCGGACCAUGUAGUAGGAGCCUUUGCAAAGUCAGUCAGUCCAAGGAAACCAAUCUGAAAGAACUACUAUGGAAAACAUAAUUUCAGGUCGUACUCUCAGAUCUCCCUUGAGCUUUUUUUUUUCCUUGAACGAAAAACUAAAUUUUUUUAGUGGUUGCUUAUAUCAAAACUGUUUCAGAGUGUUAUCUUCUUAGUGCAGAGUUCGACGGUUGAGGUGGUUAGUGCUUCAGAAAACAAAUGUAAGGUAAAUAUGCAAAGCUUGCAGAUUCAGGGGGUGUUUGGAUACACCCCACUAAAGUUUAGCACCUGUCAUAUCGGAUGUUUGGAUGCUAAUUAGGAGUAUUAAACAUAGGCUAAUUAUAAAACUAAUUGCACAGAUAGAGUCUAAUUCGCAAGACGAAUCUAUUAAGCCUAAUUAGUCCAUGAUUUGACAAUGUGGUGCUACAGUAACUAUUUGCUAAUGAUGGAUUAAUUAGGCUUAAUAGAUUCGUCUCACGAAUUAGCAUAGGGUUCUGCAAUUAGUUUUAUAAUUAGCUCAUGUUUAGUCCUCCUAAUUAGCAUCCGAACAUCCGAUGUGAUACUGCUAAAGUUUAGCACCUAUUAUCCAAACACCCCCUCAGUUUAUUCUUCUUUUUUCUUCAUAGUUCUUAGCCCUGCAUAACUGCAUUUAGUCUUUUUCAAAAUUUGAUCCACUCAACACAUGGAACAGAAGCAAUGAUUAACUCUCACCAUUCUGACUCACUUGGGCGGCCGGGAGGCGACGCCGUCGCCCCAAACGAGGCCUCGCCAGAUCUCCAGCUCGGCCACUGCCGUCGGGCCAGUGCCGACAUCAAGCGAUGCCGCGCGUGUCCUUCCCCUUCCUUCCCUUCUUCAUUUUCUUGUUGGAGCUCGAGCUGCACGAGGAUGGCUGGAUCCACGUCUGGGGAGGCCGGAUCCACUUGUCUUGCAUACGGAUCCGUGUCAUUCGACGUGCGAUUCCGGCAGUGGGGGCCUCCAUUGGCCGCUUGCAGAUGCAGGAGGCUCAGCUGCUGCUGCUGCCGCCGCGGGCGGUGGUAGCUCGGCCUUUCGGCGGCAGUGGUGGCUGCAUGGGCUGGCCACCGGUCAGCGGAUCCGCUGACAGGCGCGGCGGCGGAUGCUCCUAGGCACAGGGCGGGGUCCGUCGCGCGAAGUGGCUGUACGCGUGGGCGAGGAUGGCGGCGAGCAGCAAUCAGGCGUGGACGAGGAGGUGUCGUGAUGACGAUGCGAGGCCCCGAGGCGGCAAUGGAUCCAACUCCGCCUUGGCCAGGCCGGAUCUGGCCGCUCAUCCAUGGUAGGCCGCGGGAGGCAUGGCGGCGGCGGGAGUUGUCAGUGACACGACCGCAGUAAUGUGCAGGCGCGGGCGUGGAACACGGCCCUGGCGGUGGCUUGGUGCCAUGGCCGCCACAGCAGCACGAACAAGGGCGCGGCGGCGCGCUGCCGCGGAGGCAGGUCGCACGUGGGUUUGGAGCCUGUGGCGAGGUGGAUCUGAGGUUGGCGGCGCGUCAGGGCGGCGAGCCUGGGGCGUGGGCAUACAGUUGCAGCGGAUGAGGAGGCACGGCGGCAAAAGCCCUUACCGACAAUGUUGCUUGUGACGAUGGCAGCGGUGUCCUAGGGCGUCGUUCUCCCCAUUGGGACGUCAUGUUGGAGCUUUAUCCCUACUGCAUAUGGUUCUCUGGGUGAAAACCCUAUCCAGAUUCUAGACGAGCGAUGGCGGUGCCCUCCUUGGAGACGUCGUUUAUAGAGACACAACUCGGUUUGUGGCAAUACUGGUGACGCCGAUAGUCAUAGCAGUCUACUGCUGGUGGCGACGGUCCGCCGUGAUGGGCUUGCAAAGCGGCAAGGCGGCAUGGUGCAAGAUAGCAAACUUGAUGGGGGUUGCUGAGCUCACGUGGAGGUGAUCGUAGUUGUGGUGGCGGCUAGGGGUUGCCGCAUGGUUGUUGGGUUGGUUGCUUGCAGCGGACCGCGACUGGCGUUGCUUGGCAGUUGUCAGUGCGGCGUGGGACUACGUCCGAGGAUAGCGCUUGCAGCAACGACGUCGUGGGACGACUAGGCUUGCGACGGGUUGCUCAGCUAUGCUGAGCUACUCUGGUGCGAUACGUAGUCGGAAGACGGCGCAAGCGACUUCUUUGGCUUUCUGGCAUGGCGGCAGAGGAUAUGUGCGCGGGUUGAGCAACGAGGUGAAGUCAACCUGCGGCGGCGGCUUUUGUUGUUUGAUGGAGACCUUAGGUUCCGGGGCAACAUUGCUGCCAUUCUGGCGGCGACAUAUGAAACGGAUCCGUGACAUGCAGGUUUGUGGCGGACGUGGUAAGGCCCCCGCGCGUGGUGUUUCUUCAAGGCGACAAGAGCAAGAUGGAUUCCAACGCCAGAUGUGGCAAGGCCCCCGUGCGUUGUGUUUUCAUGGUGGCGAUUGCGAGGCAGCCUGCGAGAGGUCCGAAUUUGGUGGUAUCACUCUAUCGGGUGGAGUGUGAUGUUGCAACGGCACUACGACGAAGAGUCCCGCAUGGCGGUGGUCUUUUCGGUGCGGUGCGGUGCGGUCUGUUUCUCUCGAUUCUUGUCGACGUGGAGUCAGAGGUUCAGCGACUACAUGAGCGUGAGACUAUCGGGAGGUGCCGCGAUAAAGGCUUCGGCCCUACGCUGUUGCAAGUCGAGUGCUGUAGUGUGCUCUGCUGUCACUGUUUGAGUGGAGUGGUGCGACCGCGUUGAUAUCCCAAUCCAACCGAUCAGGUUUAGUGGUUUUGAGUUAGGUGGUUAUCCGCGUUGACAUCCCAAUCCAACCGGACGAGUCGACCAGUUUUUUCUCCUUUCUUUUCUUUUUCCAGUCUAUCACCUCCCUGAACUGUAGUUUUGUAUUUUUUCUGCUAUAUCAAUAGAAUUCUUGCGCGGUUUGUAAAAAAGAAGAAGCAAUGAUUAGGGUUGGUGGUGCGUCCCUAUUCGAUCAAUUGCUCCUUCCACGUAGACCUCUCUCUUAUAUUAAAAAAAAUUAUAAUCAUAGACCUGUCUCCAGCAAUUUCUUGUCAGUCUUUGGUUGCCCCUUGGCAAACAUUGCAGCUUAGAGCUUCCAGAGAAGCAAUGAUUCAGAACUGGCACGAGUAUUUGUUUAACUGCCACCCGUCUGCAAGCAGGAGCUGUUGAAGACACUAAUCUGAGUGUGAAAUCCACUGAGAAAAGUAAGACCCAGUUUAAGAGUUAAGACCAAAUCAUUCCGAAUGAUCGCCGAAAGCUUUGUCCUAACAAAGUACCCAGCUUUGGAUCGAGUUUGGACAGCACAAAAGCACGCAAGUGAUGUGACGCUGACCACUCAUGAACAAGUGGAUUGGUCAGUGUCACCAACCUUUUUCCCUUCUGAUCAUGCUGUUGCCGAAUGCCACAACAUCGGCAGUCGAAGAUCUGUCUAGUGUAGUCGAAAAUCAGAAACUGCUCCAAAAGACGUGAAAUGCUGGUGCGAUUUGAGUACUCCUCCGUGGAGACUGAUGCAGGCAAGGCAUGCUCCUGUAAAAAGUGAGCAAGUGCUUGGUGCCAUGGCUUUUCAUCAGUUCAUACCCUGCCUGGUGCCUGCAGCAUGGAGGCAGCACAGCAGCAUCUGCAGUCAAUCGAUGAGAUGAGAGUAGUUACCAUGAUGUACAAUUGACAAAUCAGUUUGUGCCGGCACUCAGAACUCAUAAAAAGAAGAGUACUGAGUACUAGGGAUUAACAGUGGUGAGCAGUAAUUUCUGGUAUGUUGGCAGUUGGCUUGAAUUUUUUUUUUCUACUCUGCCACAGCUACAAUAUGAACAUCCAGAAUGACGAAAAGGACCAUGAUCAUUGCGCAACGACACAUGCGUCAUGUCUGAAUGAUUGGGUAAGGCCGGUACGAGCCAACACAUGCGGUGCUUCCUAGCGAUCGCGACCGCGGAGAUCUGGUGCAUCCGAAGUAGACGGAGUUGGUUGUUGAAGUUCAUGAUCUAGUACUGGAGAUUUCUCCAACUCUGGUUUUGCAACCAAAUGUUUGUAAACACCUGAAUUCAUCUGAAACCUCGAAAUCCAGACGGAUCGUCGUUGGAACUAGUAUAACACCUGCAACCACAACCAUGCCAAGGGUUGCAGCCUGCUAGGCUAUCUCUGAUAGUCUGAUGCAGAAGUAGAGCUGAUGGUUCAGUAGGAAGUGCCCAUGACAGGUGGGUCCACACCGUGUCACACUGGAGAGAGGAGGCGUCAGGCAUGUGCUUGUGGUUGUGGGCGCCAUGCACGACCUUCACAGCUCAUAGUUUUUUGACCGCGUAACAGAAAAAAGUGAUUGGGAUGAGCGAAGGAAGCAUCUCCAGGUCAGGACGCGAGCAAACCAUAGGCCGAUCGAUCCUACCAUUGCUUUCGCUUCACUUCAAAGCUUUGGUUCCCUGCUGGUCAGCAACCAUAGGCUGUGAGCUGUGACAGCUUGCAAGUUGCUGCUAGGAUUUACCUUAUGAUAAUUUCCAUUAGAUGCGUGGUAAUCAAGGUCAAAGCAAAGCAUUUGUGGACAAAGACAGUAGGCCUUUUGAACAGUUAGUUGUUCAGGAGCAGCAUUCUGUUCCUGAGUCCUGACAGUACCCAAAAGCAUUCAUGUUCCAUCAGAUAUGGAGGCCUCAGGUGCUCACCUUAACAGAAUUACUACAAAGCAAACCUUAAGUAGUUAACAAACGUGAUUGCCCCAGAGUCCUAGGCUCCAAACUCCAUGAAUGGUUCUUCAGUUCUAUCAGGAAAAUGGAGAUCAUGGAGCUUGAUAUGUGUACUUCAACAAUGUCCUAAGACACAGCACCACACUAGAAAGAAAUUCAGGGGGCUAAUUUCACAUCCUAAAGCUUAGAUGCAGGUAAUUAAAUACUUUAAGAUAUCUGAAUUUCAUAAGUACACAGGCCUAACCACACCCCAACCAAACAUUAAGUGUGGGAUAAUCAAGGUCAAGGCAAGCAUUUGUGGAAAAAGACAGCUAGUAAUGUUACUAGGGUAUACUACUAUUGAACAGUUGUUCGGGAUCAGGAGUAGCAUCCUGUUCCUGUACAGUGUGAAGCAAGGAAAGGCAUUGCAUUAACUGACAAACCAAAGGCACCUUUCUUCUUGCCUGGAGACUUGAGUGAGGGCAAAGUACAGUACAACAUAUGAAUGUUGAGUUGCUUACCGUAACACAAGUACAGUUGUACAAAUCAAACAUGAUUGCUCCAUAAUCAUAGGCUUCUAACUCCCUACUAAGCUCCUGAAUUCUAACAGGAGGAUGGACAUUAGGAAGCUUGAUAUAUACAGAACAAUGUCCUAAUUAAGCCACACACACACACCAUACCACAAAUUCAGACCCUAAAGAUUCCACACCCUAAUCGACGAUGGCUGAAUAACAGGUACCUAAAUUUGACACCCUAAACUUGAAAUAUCCGAACUUUCAACAAAAGAAGGAUCGAUAACAGUUAAGCUCGACUGUUUUCAGAUGCUGAUGAGAUCUCGAGUUGGGGAGGACUGCGAGCUCGAUGGCUGUUUCUGCUGCUGGUGCUCUUUGGCUUCAUCAUUCAGUGCUUCAACAGAGUCAGCUGACACUGGAGGAUUGGGCGCGGCACCAUCAUCGCCGCUGGGAAGCUCAUCUCCUUGCCUCGAAGUUGGCUUGGGAAGCUCACUGAGCAUCUGCACCACCUCCCGCAUUGUAGGCCGCUGCACGCUCUGCUCCUCGACACAAAGCAGCGCGACAUAGAAGAUGUGCAUGACCUCGUGCACCGGCACAGUCGAAAGCCUGGGAUCCAUGAUCUUGAUCACCUGCUCCUUGUUCGAGUCCGUCAUCGUUUUGACCCACUGGACUAUGUCCACACCGUCCCCAAACUCUCCUACUGGCUUCUUUCCAGUGACCAGCUCAAGAAGCACGACGCCAAAGCUGUAGACAUCGCUCUUCUCAUCAACCUUGAGGGUAUAUGCGUACUCUGAAAAUCCAAAAGAAGGAUUAGUUCAUUUUAAAAAAGAGCUUCUCUACUCGGUGUAGAGGGAAAUUCUAAGUUUCUACGUCCGAAGAAGUGAAACAAACUUUAGAUAUAAAGCAGCAAUUCAGUGGGUAAGCAGAAUGACAUAUAUUCAUUAGCUAAACGUGACAGACAUGACUAAAUGGAGACAACUAGUAACAACUAACAACACAUUUGCAUUGUGAGAGCAUCGCUAUUCGCUAAGCAUCAAAAUCAAUAAUUAGUAACUGUACUCCUAAUUUAAUCAGCAGACAGCAAGAAUGAACUUAGAAUAGAGAAUUACCAAAAACUCCUAUACUGCCAAAACUUCUGAAAAAAUUGCAAACUGUCAUCAGGAUAGAUCUUUUACCUGGAGCAAUGUAGCCGUAUGAGCCAGCAAUGGCAGACAUACAUUGUGAUGCGCCUGAGUCCUGCAAGAACUUGGCGAGCCCGAAAUCAGCAACAUGCGCUUCAAAAUCAGAGUCAAGCAGAAUGUUGUUCGAUUUCACAUCGCGAUGUAGGAUCGGUGGCGAGCAAUCAUGGUGUAGGUAACUGAGACCCUUGGCAGCCUCAACAGCAAUCUUGUACCGAGUGUCCCAAUGGAGGUGGCCACCUUUCUUGCCAUGGAGGAGCUCCCCCAGGCUUCCAUUCGGCAUGUACUCAUACACCAGGAGGUUAGUCUCAUUGUUCGAGCAGAAGCCAAGCAAUCUCACAAUGUACCGGUGCCGGAUCCUCCCAAGCGUCUGUAUCUCCGCAGAGAACCCAUGGUCAUGUGAAGAUCCACGGCUCAUCGCCGAAAGCCGCUUCACUGCAACAUGCUCACCAUCUGGCAUUGUCCCCUUAUACACAAUCCCAGCUCCACCUUUUCCUAUGAUGUUCUCCUCCUUCAGACUAUCGAGCACAUCGUCGCAGGUGAAGUCGAGGCGCUGGAACGCGGUGAGCCUCCACGCUCGUGCCUCGCUGGCCUUCUUCAGCGACCGGGCCUUCAAGAUCGCCAUGGCGGCAAACGCAAUUGAGCACACGAGCAAGCCAAGAACUAUGAGCAGCUUGAAGGUAUUGGAUAUGCCACCAUGGCUGCGUGCGCCAUGGUCCGUGCCAGCACCACCGGAAUGGCAUGGUCCGAGGUACGGCCCGCACAAGCCCGGGUUGCCGACGAAGGACGUGGCAUUGAAGUAGCUGAACUGCCCAGUCGCCGGCACGAGCCCGGACAGGUUGUUGUACGAGAAGUCCACGGCCGUGAGGCUCUGCAUUGCAGCAAUGGUUGCGGGAAUCUCUCCAUCGAGGUGGUUCCGGGACAGGUUCAGGUAGUUGAGAAUCCUCAUGCCGGAGAUGGCCGGCGGUAUCUCGCCGGACAGGUUGUUCCGGCUGAGGUCAAGGUAUGUGAGCAGCCGGCAUUUCCCAAUCUCCGGCGGCACGCCGCCGUCGAGCGAGUUGCCGCUCAGGUCAGCCUUGGACAGCUGCUGCAGCCGCCCAAUCUCCGGCGGUACCGCGCCGUUGAACGCGUUCUGGUCAAGGAGUAACUUUUGCAGACCGGAGAAAUUCCCGAUGGACGCCGGCAGCGCGCCGGUGAGCUGGUUGUUGGAGAGAGUGAUGGACCCAAGGUUGGACGCGGCGGCGCCGGCCACCGCGGGGAAGCCGCCGGAGAGGAGGUUGUCCUGGAGCUCGACCUGCACCAGAUUCGGGAGCUCGAAGAGGCCUUCCGGGAUGGAGCCGUUGAGGUAGUUCUCGCCGAGGCGGAUGCGGGAGAGCGCCUCGCAUUUCCCCAGCGACUCCGGAAUGGAGCCGAAGAGGAAGUUGCCGAGCGCGAUGAGGGUCUCGAGCUUGCCGCCGGCGCAGAGGUCCGGCGGCAGGGUGCCGGUGAGCCUGUUGGAGGAGAGGUCGACCAGCUGGAGGCGUCCGUUGCGGCCAAGGCGGCGCGGGAUGCCGCCGGUGAAGUUGUUCUCCCAGAGCUGCAGCACCUCGAGGCUGGGCAGGUCGCCGACGAGCUCCGGGAUGCUCCCCCGGAGCUUGUUCCGGAAGAGGUUGAGCAGGGUGAGGUUCUUGAGCGCCGCGAAUGUCGCCGGAAUCUCGCCGGUGAGCGCGUUGUUGGAGAGGUCCAGCGAGCUGAGGCUCCUGAGCCGGCCCAGCUCCGGAGGGAUGCCGCCGGCGAGCCCGUUCACCUGCAGGAACAGCGUGUCGAGGUUCGCGAGGUUCCCGAGCUCCGGCGGAAUCUCGCCGGAGAGCCCGCAGUUGGCGGCGUCAAGCCGGACGAGCUCCGUCAUGUUCCCGAGCUCCGGCGGUAUCCCCCCGGAGUAGCUGUUGUAGUAUCCAAUGUAGAGCUCCCGGAGGCUGGUGAGGUUGCCGAGCUCCGGCGGGAUCCUCCCGGAGAGCUCGUUCCCGGAGACGGCGAGGUACUGCAGCCUGCCCCACGUGCCGUACUCGGGCGGGAUCUCACCGGAGAAGAAGUUCCCCCCGAGGUGGAGGUGGCGGAGCGCCGGCAGCGCGGCGACCCCGAGCGGGAGCGGGCCGGUGAGGUUGUUGUUGUAGAGGUCGACCACCCGGAGCGUGCGGAGGCGCGCCAGCGGCGGCGGGAAGGUGCCGUUGAGCACGUUAUUGGAGAGGUUGAGGUGGGUGAGGUACCGGAGCCGGGCCAGCGGCGUCGGGAUGGGGCCGGAGAACGCGUUCGCGGCGAGGUCGAGCCGCGCGAGGUGCGGCAGCCGGGACAGCGCCGCCGGGACGGGGCCCGAGAGGUUGCGGCCGGAGAGGUCGACGCCGAUGACCGCGCCGCGCGCGUUGCACGUCACGCCGGACCACGCGCAGGGGCUGGCGGUGGCGUUCGCCGUCCAGGACGCCAGCGCGCCGGCCGGGUCCGCCAGCUCCGCCUUCGCCGCCAGCAGCGCGUCCGCGUCAGCGUUCACGGUGGCCGCCGCCGCCGCGGCGGCAGCGGCGGCGAGGAGGAUGGGGAGAAGGAGGUAGUGGAGGCGCAUCGGCAUUGCCAUUGGAGGUCGUGGCUCCGUCUCCGUCGGGAGAGUGGAGACAAGGGAGUGAGGUCGGAGAAAGGAGAGAGCUUUACGAUAGGCUGCUCAUUCUUGGACGCACAGGCACAGCAACACACACACACUGCCACUGACACACACCUACUCGCGAGGCCGCUAGUGGCUAGUGCUAUAAAAAAAAGGCAUGUGAGUGUUUGUUGGAUUUUCUGAAUUCUUUUUCACAUGAUAAACUUGUCUUUUGUUUCAAGAUUUGGGUUGGCUUUGUUCGUGCCAUUGUGUGGGGGGUUUCUUUUCUUUUUUGGGAUGGGACAGGUGUGGUUUGUUAGUUGCUGUGGAUUCUUGUGUUGUGAAAAGUUGCUUUCUUUCUGGGUUGAUAGUGUUCAAGCUUUUUCUCCUGUUUGAUGGAGGGCAUGCUGUAACUUGUCAGCAACUUAGAGGUAGUUAGAAAGUUGGUAAAGAAAGGGAGCUAAAUCUACGCAAAUUGCUCAUAUUUGGUUGGGUGGCUAAAAAUAGCCUAGUUUGCUAUACUCCUGUUUGGUUGGCUGCAUAAUGUGACAGGAGAACUCUGUAUUUCCUAUAAGUGGAGUUAUCACCGAUCAUCUCUCUUCUCUCCUCUUCCCCAAUCCAUCCCCGAUUUCACAUGUCGCUACUCUGUGUCGCCGUCGCAGCCACCCGCUUCCGCCGCCAUCGGAAGAAGCUGGUGAUGGCGGGGAGGAGCGGCUGCCGCGUUGUCCGCGGUGGGGGCACCGCGCGCCGGAGGUGGAGGAGGGCGAGGGGCACCGGGUAGAACUGCUAUGGAAGUACCUCCACGACCAGAUGGAGUUCUGCUGCCUGGCACCUCCACCCGUCAUGUCCCAUUCUCUCCUCCAUGUUCUGUCCUUGCUUCUAUCUUGACGCGCCCCGCAGCCGCCAGCUCCGGCGAGGCUCAGUCGAGUCCGAAUCAAGCUCGAGCAUAACCAAAUCAAGCUCCAGCUCCAGUGAUGAACCUCCUCCCGCGGCCCCAGGAUGACGCGCUCCCGAUCCGAUUCCUCCCGCUCUGCUUCCCCUGCGCCGGCCAGCCUCCCACAGGGCUGCGGGAGCCUCGAUGCGCUCCCGGGCCUCGCCCUCGCUCUGCUCGUCGCGCGCCUCCGGGACGAUGCCACCAACCCUCCGACGAGUUGCGUCGUCUCCAACAACGGCCACCCGUGGAUAGCCUCGUGGUGAACAGCUUCGUGGAGCUUAAGCCCAUCUUUGUCGAUGCCUACAAGGCGGCUAUCGCCGAGAAGAUAUGGACCAUUAGGCCUCUGUUCCUGAUGAGCACCGUGCCAUUGACGGCGACCAUGGACGACACCAACGCCAUCCAGUGCGCGAGCUGGAUCGAAUCCAAGAAGCCCCAGUCCGGGGAGUUCGUGAGCUUCGACAGCCGGGUGCGCUCGUCUCUGCUGCAGCUCAUUGAGAUCGCUCGCAGGCUGGAGGCGAGCAGCCGGCGAGGGGCGCCUUGUGAUGGGAGCGACGAGACGGUGGCGGAGGAGGUGGAGUAGUGGAUGAGGUGAGGAGAUAGGAAAGCUACUGGAGGUGACGAGAAAGCAGAGCCAUGGCUAAACCAAGCCUGCAUUGCUGGAAGCGAAUCCCACUGCUGUUUCCAGUAAGGGGGUGUUUGGAUAGCAGGGGCUAAAGUUUAGCCCUGUCACAUCGGAUGUUCGGAUGCUAAUUAGGAGGACUAAACAUGAGCUAAUUAUAAAACUAAUAGCAGAACCCCUGGGCUAAAUCGCGAGACGAAUCUAUUAAGCCUAAUUAAUCCAUCAUUAGCGAAUGGUUACUGUAGCACCACAUUGUCAAAUCAUGGACUAAUUAGGCUUAAUAGAUUUAUUUCGCGAUUUAGCCUAGGAGUUGUGCAAUUAGUUUUAUAAUUAGUCUAUGUUUAAUACUCCUAAUUAGAUCCAAAUAUCCGAUGUGACAGGGGCUAAAAUUUAACCCAUACCUCCCAAACAUCCCCUAAGCCUGUCUAGCAUCCCUCCCCUGCAUUAGCUAAGCUUGGCUAAGGUUUUAUGCAGCCUACCAAACACAGCCAAGCUCGUUAUGGGAGCCUGGAUACGGGACCAAUCACUGCGUAUGCGUCAUGGCCGAAUCAGACGAAAUGCACGCCCAUUUUUGGAGUCCUUGAUUAGCGUUGAUGGCUCACCGUAACCAAGAUUUUGUAUUGCUACUAAUUCUUGUCAGAGCGUUAGGUUGUUGCUGUAGAGGAGCCCAUCUCCAUGGAUGGCAGUGUGGUGGUCCAAGCCCGCUCGUGGAUGAAUCUCAUUAUUACGAAACCUGACCCUGGAAUCCGGCGUUUCUCGCGCGUGGAAAGGGCCACGUCGCCUCAUUUUCGCUGCCGUCGGGUUCCGAUUGGAACGUCCAAAGAGCGAGCACAGAAUCGAGGCUCCCAGACCCUUGGUCUCGAGCGCUAGACACCUCGCCGCCGCCGCUCGUCGCCACCUGCCCCCUCGCAUCCCCGGCAGUCGAGGCGCAAGAGGCCCCGCACCCUCGCUCCGCUUCACCAACGCCGGAGCCCGAGGCAGAGCGCGCCGCGGUGGACCAAGGGACGCUCAGACGCGCCGAGCCUGCGGCUCCUGCAAGCUGCCGCCUCUCGGCGUGCUCAUCCUCCACCUGACCACCUCUGUCUCCUCUCCCCGUCGCGCUCUCUUGUGCGCUGGGCGUGCCUCCUCAGUCCUCACGCUCGCUGCCUUCCAGCAGCAGCAGCGAACACUCUAAUGUAAAGAUUGUAAGCACAUGAAGUUGCUUCAGGUUUCGGUGAUGGCAUUACAACUUAGGGUCUGUUUGGAUGGGGGUUCAUAAAGUACCUGUCACAUAUAGGAUGUUUGAUACUAAUUAGAAGUAUUAAAGUCUAAUUAUAAAACUAAUUACAUAGAUGGAGUCUAAUUCGCGAGACGAAUCUAUUAAGUCUAAUUAGUCUAUGAUUUGACAAUGUGGUGCUACAGUAACCAUUUGCUAAUGAUGGAUUAAUUAGGUUUAAUAGAUUCGUCUCGCGAAUUAGCCCAGGGGUUCUGCUAUUAGUUUUAUAAUUAGCUCAUGUUUAGUCCUCCUAAUUAGCAUCCGAACAUCCGAUGUGACUCCUCCUAAAAUUUAGUACCUUGCAUCUAAACACCCUAACGUGAAGCCUCGUACGAUAUUCUAAUUACCUGAGAUGGAUGUGUAAAUAUAUAAGUAAAAGGAUGUAACAAAUUUGCUACCUGCUGUGUAUGUUAAGCUGCAUGCCAAGGUCUUGUGCAAACAUGAUGCCAGAACCAUUCCAAGAGACUCUGUGGCUCAAUGAAACUCCAUGUUUCUUUUCCGUGAGCCAAAGAAUUUAAAGUUACACCAACGAUAACAUGCCGUAUCACCCGUACUACAACAAAAGACUAGUAUAUCUUGAAAAAACUCAACAUAGGCGCGGCAACGCCGCGCCAAGAGUUUUCUAGCAUGCUAUGAUUCCUGCACCGUGGCAGGCCCUGUCGGCCGGAGUAGUAGCUUGCUCAUUCAUGCAUUCACACACACAUACAGUAGCUAGCUCUUGUGUGAUGAGCAGAGAGAUUAACCACAGGCACAUUCCCACAUGGCAUCUACUCCCAUGUUUACUUUAUAAUAACUUGGAUUACCAACACCUUCUUUGACCUGAGAGGUUCUGUACUGUUUCAUCGAUCAUUGCAGCUAGCAUCUCGAGAAGGUUUCUGUUUUUACUGUACGACUAAUGACUGUGUCUGUUUGUAAUGCUAACCGGAAUCAUGCGUGUGGGAUUUUUAGCUGCUUGUUUUUACCCAGAGGUCAAAAAGUUACGGUGCUGAGGCAGUCCGACCUUUCUUGUCAGAAGUUCAGAACAGAACUCAGACACAGGUGCUCUUUACCGGAAAAAGGGUAAACUCGUGUCAGAAGCAUGCAUGAAGGUAAUCAAAUCGUUGUUUACAGUAAUCAAAUCAUUGUCAUGUUAGCAAGAGGAAACCCUUUUCUAUCAUCGUUUUUUACCAGUAGUAAACUGUGCUCCGCGCACGCGUGCUAGCUCGAUGCCUCCAUGGCUCCAUGGAUGCUCCUCCUGCAUCUCUUUCUGUCAUGCAAAACGCAGACCGUUUGUUUCCCUCGUCUUGGGGUCGGGUGCCCGUGAUGCUCCCAUGGCGUAUGCGUCGGCGAACGGCGAACCAGACCGGCCGUGAUGCAUUAUUCUUGUCUCUUGACUCCAGAGCAACGGACACCGUCACGUCUCAGAAAUUGUUCUCGUUCGCUGUCGCCUUCCGUUCCCAUCCCAUGCACGCUGAUGAUGCUGGACCUGGACCACGGCAGCGCCUCUGCAUUGAUAGGAUGACACCAACAACUCACAAGCACCCCCCUUGGAACAUGGAAAAAAAAGGGGCCUCUGGAAAAUUUAGCAACAUGAAAAGGAAAACUAAAGCAAGACACUAAAUUUGCAUCUAAAUUCCCUAUAUUUUCCAUUAUCAAGAAAACCAAAUUGACCAUAUGGAGGAGGAGCAGGACCGUCUUCAGAAAUUUAGGGUCUGUGUGCGAAUACAAAAUGGGGUCUUUUAUGAUUGAUCAGCUGCUUCUCGUCUAUGUUUAGGGGCUCGCUUAGGAUCGCGGAUCACAAAUCGCAAUUUGCAGAGAUCGCAACUCGCAAGUUUGCAAAGGGAAAGUGCAAGGGACGUGGUAUAGGACAAUGCCCAUUACGACGAUUCAGUUACUGUGAUGUUGCACGGCACAGCUCUGCUCAAGUGUUCUGUAAAAAAAAAAAAAGCUCUGCUCAAGUGUGACGCUACUGCGACCUUCACUUGCCUGCUGGUUUCAGUCCACUUGGCCAGCAGCAGAGACAGUUUACUAGUGGUAGUAGUACUUGCUAGGUAAGGUACAGGUCUGGCACGGUACACGCACCAAGUUCCAUAGUAAGCUGCUUAGAUUAGAGAGGACAAUUAAGGAGGGAGGAUAUAUACUAGCAGAUGGUUACCGUAAAAAAAAAAUUACUAGCACUCCAAGCAAUAGCUGCUGGUGUGGUAGAGUACACAAAGAGAGCAGAGAGGCAGGCAGGCGCAACGUUAUUUGUGGGGGGGACGGGACGCCGGAUUUCGCGUGUCGGAGCCUCCCGUCCCGAGUGCUGUGGCCUUUUCCGGAAAGCUCGCACCAGGCCAAACUGAAAAAGGCCAGGCUUUUUCUCCGAUCCGCUACCGGCCGGAUCUGUGCAGCGGCGGGCGGGCGGGGACGACGGCGACGGCGACCUUCCGUGGCCGGACCUGACCUCACCUGACCGACCAUGCAUUAGUAGUAGUACAAGACAAUGCGAGGCGGUGGGUUGACAGGUUGAGGGGAGUGAGGAGGACGAUGGAGCGAGGUCCCGAUCGAUCCGAUCCAGCAGUUUGGACCUUUAUAAAAUGCUCGUAAAAAAAAUCCAACAUUUUACUAUUUGUCCACUUGGCGCAUCUUGUUUCGCACCUCGGAUAUUUUUCCUCUCUUUUUUUCAUAGAAUAGAUAGACUGGAACAUGAUGGGCAGGAUAUGAUUGUCGCAGAUCCGACAACCCAAGAAGUUUUAGAAAGAAUCAUUUUUAAAAAAAACUAGUGUUUCGGUGCCGUACUCCCAAAGCCCAAGCUCAAAAUGGCAGGAUAUGAUGGGCCAAUAUUCAGGGUGCUUAAAGGGCCUCGUGUUUCAGGACAACUCCCAAUGCAAUGUUCAUCAUAUUUCUGGCCAAUAUUCUUAUACUUGCAUGUCAAUGCAGUUCAUGAAAGUUAGUCGAGCUUUGCUGCACAUAUUUGUUUAAAAUUUAAAAUCUAGGAAGGAAUUAGGAACAUGCUUAUAAUGAACUAGAAUUACAAUUACUAAACCUUCUUCCACUAACAAAUUGAGAUGAAAGUGCUCCAUGAGUGUUCUCAACGAGACUUGUGCCACUAGUUUAUCAGGAAUACCUCCAUGUUUAAUGGUUCUGAAGAAACCUUAAGCGCCAACUCUGCAGUUCUCCACAGAUAGAUGUGGACUCUGCCGACUGCAAGUAAAGAACACAUGAAUCGAAUGUCCUUGUCUUCACUAUUUUUUAAGGGAAAGAGUGGCAUUUUGAAUCAUGAAGAGCUACUGCAUAGCUUCUCUGUUGAUAUUGCCAUCCCAUCUUUAUUUGAACUUUAUUAUUUUAGGCUGAACAGCAUGCCAAUGGAAGCUUGAAUGCAGCUCGUCCACUCGAGGGUAUGGACGAUCAGUCACUGGAUGAAGAGCUGUUUAAAAUCGGUGAAGCUAGUAGGUGAGGUGUGCAAGGCGUUGUGAUCAAUUAUUGAUUUGAUUUGUAACUCUCUUUAAUUCUUUCCCCCUUUUGAAAGGGAGCGCAAUGAGGAGCUGCGAAAAGUGUGCGUCGAGCUCAAAAGGAUCGCAAAGUGGUAAAGUUUCUUGUUAUUGUUAGAGCAUUGCUGAAAAAGUAUAACAGGGAUAUCUUAAUUUUGUUUAGGUUUUCAGGAGCCACCGUUGCAGUUGGUGUGUUCCGCAACCGGGAAAGGAGGAAGAAACCUCGAGGGAGAGAUCGAUCCCAAUCGCACAACGCUAGCCGCCUCCUGAUCCACAAUCCAGGUCUCCGCUCAUGGCGCUUCGCAGCCUGGCGGUGAGGAUGCGGACCCCGCCGCACUUGGGCACACCGCCGCCCUGGGAGUGCUGUGGAUUGUGUGGAAGAGUAGGAACCGCAAGGUGUUCGAUGGCGAUUCACUAACCGUCCGUGCCAUGGUAGAGGUAACCCUCCUCUCCGACCACCUGCAGCUCUGGGUGUGCCGUGCGAAGCAGCGGCGAACGGACACUGAGCCGCUCCAGUCCUGGUGUAGGGGCUUGAUCAUGUAAUUAGGACCUGUGCUUCUUGCUCCCCCUCAGCUCUUUGACGUUGAGCCUCCUGCAAGGCUCUUUUGUAAUGUUGUUGUUUUUCCUUGAGAAUGAAAUUGCUUUCAGGUGGGCCGCUGGGCACCCCGUUGCUUUCUCCAAGAAAAAAGAGAUGUCAGGUUGUUUUUUCCCUUUUUCCGGACAUGGUUAAAAAUGCGCACCACCUGACAUGGUCAGCUGAGAGCCGCUGGUAGUAGGAAUUGCUUUCCUAUUGUGAGUAAAAUCAGGAUAACAAUAGCUCACCGUGGUUAUGUAAGGAUAUCUCAUGCAUCUUUCUUUGACUGUGAAAUUAAAGCAUGUUACAUUCGCUGUUAGGACCCGGUACUUCAUAAAGAUAAAAUUAAAGACACAUGUUUCCUGUAGUACUACUCUGUAAAAGUUUUUUUUCCUAGACCUGGCUAGAUCGGCAUGAGACAAGAUCAGCGAUGUUAGCAAAAAAGGUAGAUAGAUGGUGUUACUCUAUUCAUCCUGCAGCAUGAUGGCAAAAGGUUAGCCAAUCAUGGUGCCAGGAUCAGCACGUUUAAGUAGGGCCUGUCUGUUACUUAUGCAAAGAUAAUCUCUAUUUUUCGAAAAAACAACCCUUUUCUAGACAAGUAUUCAGUAGAUGCUUUGCAUUCAAGAGGUGAUCCUAUGGCAUAGUCAAUUCUUUAGCUGAUGCUUCUCAGCGAAGCACUAAAGAACUAUGGUAUAUGUUCCCUGCAACCAGUUGGUUGGAUACGAUUUUUGUAGAUGCUGCAUUAGUGAGGAACUAUAGCAAUUAAAUUCAAGCCAUGGUUCUUCCAUUUGCAAAAAAUUUGUUCGAACCAACUAGCUUGGCCUGCCUGUUUAUGGGGGCUGAAAUUGGUAGCACUUCUUGUUCUAGUCAUCAUGUUAUUUUGUGAUGUAUUAAUCAUUUUGUCCAUCGAGUCUAACUGUGGAACAUUAACUCAUCAAAGACGAAAUAUGAGGAAUCUAGGAGGUUAGAGUCAGUAAAUUAUCAUUUUGUGUUGUUCUACGUGAGCAUUACUCAUUUACAUUGUAUCCUAGCUUGUUCACCGUUUUUCUGUUAGGAGAGAGAUCAAGGUGUACAGAAGAGUUGCCAAGGUCAUGUGGUAAUUGGGUGUUACCGCUACCGUUGGGUUAUUCAUAUUGAAAGUGGCUAAUAAGGUCGCAGAGGCCGAAAACUAAGUUCCAUUUUCUUAAAAAAAAAUGUGGCGACGUCAUGAACUGCCAGUAAAUUAUCAUUUUCUGUUUGCGGCAUGUCCUGUAUAUAAGUUUUGGAGCAGCUAGUGUUUCUUUUUGCGGAAGACAGGAAGAGAGAACUUGACGUAUGGCAUGUAUUUGCGUGAAGGCGGACAUCGAUGCCUUGUGAUAAGCACGUUGCAUUUCUGAUGAAAGAAAAGGUACCCAGGCCAGUUAUUUCUUUUUUUUUCCUGACGUGCCGAUGACAAAUGGAAAUGCAGGGAGCAACAUGCUGCAUAUUUUUCUUUGUUAGUAUUUGAUGCCUUGCUAUUCCAGCCACAUCCUGGCUUUAAUUUGCUCCCAUAAAUCUUCACAAGUACCAACUUCUUCCUCUUCUACCCCCUUUAAAAUUGCGGAAAUGUGAAAUGGGCUAGGGUAAAAUGGGCCCAUUUGUGAUCCUGCUGGGCUACUGAGUACUUGAUACAAACGCUGAGGUGGUUUCCGCGCGGUUGGACAGCAGAAGAUUUGCUCACGCAUUUCCUGGCCCACAAAAAGAGAAGAUUUCCCAUUUAUUUAUUUUUAAUACAUAUUCAACAUAAACAUUUCUCCCGUGUUUUCCUAAAUAGACGAGACUUAUCGUCCUUCAUAAUUUUUUUUAUAUUGGAUACUUUUUUUAAUCAAGAAAACCAACUUUUUUUUUCAAAAAAACUAGUCAUGCUCCAAUGAGUAAAUAAUUCUUGAAAAAAAUCCUACAAUUAGACUGUGGGUGCACACUGCACACUAAGAUCCAGUAACCUCACUUGUAGACGUAGCUCGAAAUAAACUUGGCUGAUUGGGACCGUGAAUACCCGGCAAUGCAGCGUGCAAACCGUGUGCUCUCAAGUUUCGAACACGAUGCUAUGAGUUAGAACAGUAGGAAAAAGAAAGCGUGGUCUUCGCAUCAGAAGAAAGCCUUCGUCGUCCAAGUACAGUGGCUACACUAGCAGCCUCUGUCACUCUCUUUCCACACACACGACACACGGUAGGUUUAGGUACAGCGUAGCUAGCACCACCGUUGAAACGACUCGAAUUUCUAUUUCCGACAAUCCAAGUCUCCGCACCUCCGUAUUAUCACGGAGACUAUCACGUAUGGCCACGUCACACGCUAGCUGUUGCGUUCCAUUCCAUCCAUUGUCCCCAGGUGAUCGAGCUGCCUGUAUGUUGACUCAACCUCGGGUGUUGCGUCCACGGAGACGCUGCGCAGAGAGCAGGCCCGGCUCUGACCCCAGGGCCCAUGACACAGUGGGGCCUAGAAUUCUAUACGUACAAGCACAUGUGUAUACCUGCAUUAUUUGAGGCCUCGAAGGCUGCUAACUUGCUAGACAGAGUCAAUUAACGACUCAUCUUCAUUCUACUCUGCUCCAAUUGGUGACUGAAUCUUUACUUACUUCCUUAGCACCUAACAGGUUAUUGACUUCCUGUCUAGAUUUCUAGAGUUUUAUUUUAUAUUUCUCAUGUUUAAUUUCCUUUGCAAUUUAGGCCGAAGGGCCCAUAGUUUUGUAUGCUCAAGGGCCCUCAAAAUUGUAGAGCCGGACCUGGCAGAGAGCACAUCAGUUCAGCACUUGGCUCCAAAACUGCAAUCUAUGGCGGCUCUCUGACUCAACUUUUGGCCAGGUUAGUUAGGACUUAGGAGAAUCUCAAUCCAUCAAUCAUUUGUACGUGCUGUGCCCACAGGUUAGGCCACCAUAUGUUAGGCAGCUGCCCUACCCAUGCAUCUUUAUCAGUUUCGAAGCUUAAUAAUUAUUCCCUCCCAUCUUCAAAUAAUUGUCGUUUCCAUCAGCAAGAGACACCGAUUUUCACAGCGAAUUCAUGGUACUACAAAACACAUUAUAUCGAAUGACUCCUGAAGACGAAUCUAACCAUCCCAUUUUCAAAAGUCGAUUCAAAAUAUCCGAAAGGAGACUUGACGAUACAAACUAAUUAAAAUGUGUUGAGUGCACGCAUCUCAAACCAACAAAAAUUUGAGGGCCAGAGGGGUAACUAUCAAGUCUAACUGCAACUCUCUCUCUCUCUCUCUCUCUCUCUCUCUACCAUCAACAAAGUCGAUCGUUCAACUUUGACCAUCACUGUAUAUUUACAGAAAUAGCUAGCUAGCUAUUAGUCUGCUGCGUUCAACGUUUUUAAGGAUGUGACGGGUCUCCCAACCCUAUCAUGCAUGGAAAAAAUAACACAGCUGGCGUUGAACGUGUCAGCAAUGGCUGCCUCGAGAUGAAUUAUUCUCGCAUGAUGGCUGCAGCGUUAACAAUAAUUUUCCUCAUUCAGGUACACGGGCUUCCAUUCUAAUAAUUCCCUCGCCGCUCCAUCCACCCGUCACUUCUGGAUCAGGAGAGAUCCCAGCCGUUGAUCUACAUUCUUGGCGAUGCGUGAAGGACAUGUCUAACGCCGUUGCGUCACCCGGGCGGACCAGCUAAUCAUCAACUACUAAUCCAUCUCUGAUUAAGACCACGGCCAUCACCACUGGACGCGACGACUUCGAAAACAUUAAUCUUAUAUCUCAGCAAAACGAAAAAAAAGGUUGAAAUGUCGUACGUGUCCAUGGAAUCGUACGUUCAGCACCUGCAAGCCACAAAAUGUAAACUACGAAACCUUGUAAAACGGGAUAAAAUUCAGCUGAAUUAGCAUAUCAAAGUCGUCGUGUAAUACCUAACUACCCGUCUACGAAUGAGACUAGAUGUAUGCGUGUAUAAAAAAAAACACGUCAAUACGUGAUUGCGCUGCUUGCAAUUCCUCUGGAAAAUGAGCUUUUUUUUUCCUUAUUUUAACUUUUGCGAAUGAAUCUGGAGAAUGACAGUUUCGUCUCGUAGUAGUUGGAGACCUGUAUGUUCUUCCUCCGACCAUUUCCUUCAUUCAGUUUUAUAUAUAUGUAUUGGAGACUGUUGUAACACCUCAGGUGUUAAUCCUAGGAUUAGUGAACCUCAUUAGAGCAUAAUAAGCAUUAUGAAUUUAAACUCUGCCUAAUUUUUUAAAUAAGCAUUAUGAAGUUAAAAUAAGCAUUAUGGCAUUGCAUUGCUUAAACACCUCCUAAUUGUUGUUUACUUGUCCAAAUACAACUUUAUGAAGUAACUCAAAAUUUUGCUAUGUAACUGUGCCUCCUAUUAUUUAAUUUAAAUACUAGAUUCUAAAUUAUGAAUUUACAGAAUUUCCUUAAUUUUUGGAUGAUGUUUGAUAGGGCUAAAAAUUCAGUGAAGCUUAAAUUCAACUAUUUUCCUUUUCAAAUUCUAUGCAAACCAGUUGAGCUCUGCCUUUGGUUACAGUUUCUUUUUGUUCUUUGUGAUUUUAUUUUUAAAUGGGUAUUUUUGGGAGUUUUUUAUCAGCUCUAGCUUGCUCAUUGGAAGAGCGAAAGAUAUUUUUAGAAAAAUGGCGCGGUGCCACAUGUCAUUGCCUCUCUUCUCCCUCCUCCCUUUCCUCCGUCGCUGCCACUGCCACCGUGUCAGGCUCGCCGCCAUGCGCCGGCGUCCGCACCCGCAGGGCCCCAACCCUCCACGCGCCAGCUCUCUCUCUGUCUCGCCGCGCUAAGGCCAUGAGUGGCCGUACCGCACGUGCCGCGGCCGUCCCGCUGAUGGCCAGCGCCGCCGUGCCCGAACGACGGCUACCGCGACGUCAAGCAGACUAACUCGCCGUCCUUGCCUUAACUCAGCGCCAAGCCAUCCUCGCCCCACUAUCGCUCGACCUUAUCUUCUCAAAGCCGCUGGCCUCCUUCCUUCACCCUCCCUCUCCCUCUCACUUCCACUCCCUACGGCCAAAACCAAAAACAACCGAGCCGAGCAAGCAGCUCCCACCCGCCGGCCAAAUCCGCCCAGUCCACUCCAUCAUUUUCCAAUCCACGCCGCCCACGGCUAUCAACCCGUCUCAGAUACCUCCACCACUACCUCUUGCCUGUCUCUAUCAGCCAGAGCGCCGAGGGUUGAAGUUCCCGCCACCGCCAUUGCCGCCACCCGCCACCACCCACCUCACCGUCGACGCCCACCUUACCAGCCUCCUCUUCGUCAACCAAAAACCAAAAACGAGCUUUGGUGAGCCCCUGGUAGUGAUGCGCCCUAUAUUUCGUGGAGAUAGGCUAGUUGCCGUGCUCGAUUUUGAGCUUGCCGCCGGAGUGCCGCCGCCGCUAGCCGCGGGUUAGGCUAGGGUUAGGGUUCGGGGGCAAGAAGUAGGGGAGGAGGUGCGCCAGGUGAUUUGGAAGGCGAAAGGGUAGUCAAAGGGGUGGGAAAUUCCGCCGCCGUGCCGGCGUGGCUGCGCCGCCACCGCUGGCCAUGCACGCGCGCGGGCGAGCGUGAGAAGGAAGAAGGCCAGGGUGUUGUGUGUGAGAGAAAUAGAAGUUCCAGGGGGUUUCCGUUAAAUCUUGGGUUUAAGUUCUGAGGUGGAAAAGUUCAAGGGGCCUAAUUGAAAGAUCAGGAGGUUUUAGCGUAAAAGGAAGGGCUGAUAUGUGAUUAAAGUUUGUUUUUGAGGGUUUAUUUGAAAAUGUACCUUUUCCUUUUCGUCUUCAGUUUUAUUUGAAAAGGGCUGAAAUUUUGGAAAUCCCUAUAAAAUUGUAGAAAAAGGGUAAAAAUGUAAACUAAAAUUUUUUAGGCUUCUUAUGAAAUCUAGUUUAAUAUAAAAAUGACAUUGUGCCUUUUUCUGUUAUCAAUAUUUACAUAUAUUUUAUCAUGUGAAAACCAUGUUUAAUGCUUAGUAAAUUAUAGAAAAAUACAAAAAUGGUAAAAUCAGUUUUGUUAGCUUCCUGGUGAUGCGUAGACUCUAGAUCUGCAACUUUAACUCAUGAAAAUGGUAGUCUCCAUGUAGUUUUAGAUUCACUUCUGUUUUGUUGAAUGAAUCUUGGCAAAUGCUAGUAAAAUUCUAGAAACAAUCUAAAAAUGCAAUGUAAAUUAUUUUGUAUCUCUGAUGACCUUUUUUACUUACUAAAAUUACUUAUUCUGGUUAAUGGUAUGUUUUUGAUGCUGAAUAAAAUGUUAUUUUUUAAUGCCCUUUAAUUGGAAUAAAUAGCUCUAAUGUUCAUAAAAUCUUGAUAAAUUAUAAUUAAUCCAUAUUAGUUUUUAAAACUAUUCUGAGAAAUUUGUAGAACAAAAUUAUUGAUAGAACUAUAGCUAUAGUUCAUUCUUCAUAUCUGCAGUUUUGUCAUGUUUGAUUUUUAAUAAAUUUUGUGGUAGUCCAAUCAUGCUGAACUUUUUACAGUAAAUUUGUGGUGUGAUAAGAAAGCUCCUGUACAUCAGUCAUGUUGGUGUACCAAUAGAUGAUUCCUGAACAUUUAUUCAUGUUGAGAGUUGGUUUAUUUAUUAAAUAUAAUUGCUACUAGAAUUACAGGCUAAUGAAUUAUUCUUUUAUGCUCUUUGUCAAUAGUAUAUUUAUCUCUGAAAAGUUCACUAGUGAAACCAUUAUAUUUACUUGCGUGUGUCAUUUAUUGAGUCUCUAGCAUGUUGUCACCAUAGCUUCAUGCAUGAACACCUUAGUAGUUCUUGGUUUAUAUAAAUCAUGUUCUUGUGUAGAUAGCGAUACGCUUUUAUGCUCUACUUUGAACUUUUAAUCCUGUAUGAUUGAGUUGCUACAGUCUUUAAACUUGAUUCUAUGCUUGUGUCAUCUCUUUUCAUUCAGCUCACACAUAUGCAUUGUCAUGUAGAUAAUCCGCUGGCCGACAGUAUUUAUGAACUAAUUGCUGGGCCCGAGAGUAAGCCGCUCGAAGCUUCCCCAGUUGAAGAACCGCAAGCCCUGAACCAAAGUUUGGAAGAGCUCAAAGCUUGGGUUGAAGGCAAGCACCGGAGCAUGACCCCUAAUUUCAAAACUAUGCAAUUAUCUUACUUAAGUAAUUACCUUAUGCAUUAAGUUCCUAGGAGUUGAAUGAAACCUUAGCUGCAUGAUUCCUAGGACUCCCAUUUUCAAAUACUAGUAUGUAUAGGUCGAUCGAAAUCCCAUGCUUAAUUAAACAGUAGAAGUCGAGUGAUUGUCUGUCACCCGCAAGAUAUAGGCUCUUUACUAGUCAUGGUUAAAAUCUGGAACUAAUGUGAACAUGAGAAAAGUUGGAGACCGGGCGGAGAUAGAAAUAGUGUUGGUUAUUGUUGUUGGUGGCACUCCUCCUGUGUUGAUUAAGGCCUGUUCGUUGUGGCCCCUUUUGAUCAAGUUUGAAUUGUACUAUCCACAUGCCGGAAGUAAGUGGUAGUUGAAAUUGGUAAAAUCUAGUACCAUAUUACGCGAUGGUAGAUUUAGUUCGGUCCUGUUUCCUAUUCGUGUGCUAGUCAGUAACUCACGACAAGCUCGGGGAGGUACUGAUGGGAAUUAGUACUCGAGGGUCGCCGGGUGGCUCAAAUGCUAUCGCUCUUUAAGGGAACCGUUUGCCAUAUGCAGCUUGACGGGGCAUGCAUAUGUCGUGUGUCUAGGUCCACCUUGCAAGGUUAUAAAUCAAAUCGAUUCACCACCGCUCUCGGUUAAGAUAACCUUGAUCACUGAGUCACAUCGUAGUAAGAAGUGGAAUGAAAGGAAUUGCGAACGAUGAUUAUGUUGUUAUUUAAUCAAUUAUUUUUCAAUGCUGAAAAGUUUGGAUGUGAUGCUCACUUAGAAUGGUUAGUUCAACUUCAAUUUAAAGGCUAAAACUUGAUAGUAAGGAUCCACUCUUAGUUGCUUUUUGGCAAAACAAACUCCUCAGCUAAAAGCCUCGCAUCCUAGGAGUCGGCUAAGUAUAUACCAUAGUCAGGUAAGUCUUGCUAAGUAUUAGUAUACUUAGUCUUGCUUUAUUAUUUACUUUCAAGUCUUAGUGGGGAAGAAAUGAUAGAACUGGUUGCUGGUCAACCUUGGGAUGGCUAUCCUUUGCCUGAAGGAUGGUCGGUUGAGUGGUCCUUGGUCUUGCCCUGACGUGGUUUUGUGUUGGAUGACAUGUUGUUGGGCUACCCAUGUCGUAUGUAUCUUCCUUUGCACUUUAUUAUUUAGACUUCCGUUGUGUUUUAUUUAAGAACUCCGGCUUGUAAUCUAUUUAUGUAUUUCGAACUCCAUUUGUAAAUUAAGUUUAGAAACUUUAGGUUGUAAAAUGAAUGCCAUGUUGUAUCAUCUGCGCUCAUCUUCAUAUGAGAUUUGUUGCAUAUUAUUUCGAUCAAUGAAAUCAGUGGUUAAAUCAGGCUUGACUUGACAGACUGUCAAGUUAUACCGUUUUAAGUGCGUAUUGACCAGAUUAACCAUUAAGAGGAUGGUUAGCACACUUAAGCCAGUUUAAUUUGGGCGGUUCUGCCACAUCUGACAUUUUUCUUCUCCUAGUAGUUGGAUGGCUCUCAUUUGUUUCAAGCACUCUAAAAUUUCCUGUUAUAUAUAUAUAUAUAUAUAUAUAUAUAUAUAUAUACUUCAUUCAGUAAGAAAAAUAUGGAGUAUGCAUCAAGUAACAUCACCAUAAAGCACCGAAACAGAAGAGAAGCAUGUGACUAAAAGAAGAUAUUAAUAAUAUGUUGGAGACAACUUGGGGUAUGUUUAACUUACCUGAUGAAGAUAUUUAAAGCUGAUCUUAUGGUGAUUUGUUCAGUACUUCCACCUUUAAUUUAGUGUCAUCUCGGAACGCGCCAAUCGGAAAAAUAUAGGCAGAAAAUGCCAUGUGUGUUGCAAAAGACAGUCAUUUGGAUGCAUUUAUAGAAAAAUAGCACAACAAAGUAAAAUAAUGGGGUGAAACCUUUUAUUUAACACUACAAAAGUUCAAAGUUGAUGGUUAUUUUUUUUUAUGAAAGGGAGCCAUAAGCUUGUUUCUUUUGUAUGCUUGAAAUCCCUUUAAGUUCCAUAUGUCGUCAUAACUUCAAAGAGGUUUUUAUCGGUACAGUCACAUGCCCCCAUUCAUUCAAAAAAGUGGCUAUUAUUGUUACAAACUUGAGUUCUUCGAAGAGGAUUGCUCAAACACGUCUCAAUUGGAAGUAAGCGAUACCGAGCAUCUACCAUCUAUUCAAAUAUGGGCUUGAAUUCAGCUACCUAGUUCGGUGUGAUUUCUUCUGCUAUUAGGUGAUCUCCAAAGUUAUGGUUUGUUUAAAAACACUUCUUCCUUUUUUCCCACAAAUUAUUUAUAAAUGUUCAUCCGCAGCAAAACCUUAGGCAGACAUACACAUAAACCUACAAAUGCCAGCUGAGGGAGUUUUUUGGGCAAGAGAGAAAACAAUACAUGGGACAAAAGAGAGGUGGGAUCACUCCAUUCUAACUAGAAUUUUGGUUUUGGUGUUCUUGGAACAAAAGAAACAUAAAACCUUCCACAAUCUUGGAACAAAUUAUAUUGAAAAAAAGAAGAAAUCAUUGACUGCAUGGUUCACUAACCCCUGCGCGAGAUGUCAUGUUCUUGGUACGUAGACAUCAAAGACCAUUCAACCGUUCGUGCAACACACCAUCUAGUCUCAAUAAAAACAUUCCUAUACAUAACACACUACGCUUGUCGAUAUAUGUACACCUGUUGCUUGUUAUCAACGUUCGCACGUCACUUUGAUCUGAAAGGAAAAGGACAUUGCAGUCCACAUCUAUCUGAACGAGCAAAAAUUUAAAUACAUGAAUAUCCCAUGGAUUCGCAGCUAUGAAAAUCAUACCACCCCAGCUAACAACAGAUCAGGAGUCGUACAAGGAGCAAACCUCCAAAACUUGAGCCGAGCUGAACAUUCCUCGGUAUGGAACCUACGACGAACCAGUAAAACCCGGGGCCCCACAUCGUUAGAAUCAACCGCACUGCCUCCUCCUCACCUGGCCUGGUCACAGACACAUGGGCCCCAUGUGGUGGCAGCCCACUAGGCCGAGCCCCGGGCCCACCAGCACUACGCGCGCUCUGUCCGCUCCACCCCGACCCGAGCCGCCGCCUCCGGGGCGGCCCCACGCGCCCCCGCGUCGCCGACAAGUGGGCCCCACCAUCCGUCCACCCCCCGCGUCGCCGGCCUGCCGGCCGCCUCCCCACCGGUGCACGGCGCUGCAGGCACGGGCGCAUUGACGCGCGGCGGCCGCGGCGAUGCCCGUGAGCCCGGGCCCACGUGAAAGCGGCCCGCGACGGCUGGGCGCGGGCCCCACAUCCCCACCUCUAGUAGUCUAAAACUCGCCCCCGCGCACGCCCCGAUGCGCCAGUUUCCUCUGGCUUCUAUUCUUCUCCACCCCCGCUUGCUCGCCGUCGUGCUCUCGUGGGUUGGUCAACACCCUCCCCAAGCAAUUCCGCGAGCACCUCGCGCGCGUCGCCGCCCACCCACAUGGCCGCGCGGUCGCCGCCCGCGGCCCGCUGCUAGACGCCUCGCGCGCCCGCCGCGGCCUCCCGGCUGCUGGUGCUACCAUGUUCCUCCUCCCGCGGCAGUGGCUGCUGCUCCUCGCGGCGGUGCUAGCGACGGCGGCGGCCGUGGCGCGGGGGCAGGCGCCGCUGGCGUCGCGGGCGGACCUGGGGGGGCUCUACAGCCUUCGCGCCUCCCUGGGGCUGCGGGCGCGGGACUGGCCGCUCAAGUCGGACCCGUGCGCGGCGUGGUCGGGCGUCGCCUGCCGCGCCGGCCGCGUCGUGAACGUCACCGUCGCGGGGCUCCGCCGCACGCGCCUCGCCGCCCUGGCCCCGCGCCUCGCGCUCGACGGGCUCCGGAACCUCACCGCGCUCGAGCGCUUCAACGCCUCCGGGUUCCCGCUGCCCGGGGAGAUCCCCGACUGGUUCGGCUCGAGCCUCCCGCCCUCGCUCGCCGUGCUCGACCUCUCCUCCGCCGCGGUCAAUGGGACGCUCCCCGCCAAUCUCGGCGCGUCGGGGAACCUCACGAUCGUGCUCCUGUCCGGGAACGGCCUCUCGGGUGCCGUCCCGGCGCCGUUGCUCUCCGACAGAGGACCUCGCGUCCUCGACCUCUCCCGCAACAACUUCACCGGCGGGCUGCCCAACGUUUCCGCCGUCGCCGGCGGCGCGUCGAUGUUUAACAUCUCCGGGAAUUCGCUGUACGGCGUGGCCGGCUAUGCCAUUGCGGCGCUGAGGAGAAGGUUUCAGGUCGUCGACGUGUCCAGCAACUACUUGGAUGGAGCUUUGAACGGGUCCGAUGGAGUAGUGAUUACCACGACGAAUUGCUUCCACGGCGUGCCGGGUCAGCGCAGCCGUGUGGAUUGCGAGGAGUUUUACAGGAAGCAGGGCGUGAACCUUGUUGAUGCUCCAGCUCCCUCGCCGUUGCCGUCGGCUUCGCCUCUGCCACAGCCAUCACCGGAGGUGAAGAGGAAGAAGCAGGGUAUCUCCAAAAAUGUACUCAUUGGAGUCCUUGUAGCUGCGGGAGCAUUGAUGGUUCUGUUUUUGGCUGUAUUGCUGUUCUGCUUGGUGAAGAUGAGCAGCAGGGGAAGAAGCAGAGGGAGGGGAGUGGAGAUAAACGAGGAAGGUACUGGCACACGCUCUGCGCGUAGGAGGGACAGCAGUGUGAAUCCAGUGGCGUCAUCUCCAUCAGCAGUUUCUCCAAGAGCCAAUGGUGGACCUAAAAAGGAUGUGUCUGCCAUUGCCGGUGAUUUCAGCUAUGAGGAAUUGGUAGAUGCCACUGGGGGUUUCGGUGACGACAAGCUCAUCAAGCAUGGGCAUUCAGGAGAUAUCUAUCAUGGUGUCUUGGAGAAUGGCUCACAUGUCAUUGUUAAGAAGGUCGGUUCAAAGGGUAUCAACAAGCAUGCUAGUGAAUUGGACUUCUAUUCGAGGUACUCCCAUGACAGGAUUGUUCCGCUACUCGGGUAUUUGAGCAAGGAUGAUGAGGAAUUCCUGGCUUACAAGUAUAUGCCAAAGGGAGACUUGACCGAUGCAUUGCACAAGAAACCUGUAGACACUGCAGAUGGCUUGCCCUCGCUGGAUUGGAUAACUAGACUGAAGAUUGCGACUGGUGUGGCUGAGGCAAUGUGCUUCCUUCAUGACGAGUGUAGCCCACCAUUAGUUCACAGGUAUGCCUUUCUAUAUGAUCCAGGCAUCUACUUUUUCCAUUUGGUACUGUGGCGCUAUGCUGUUGUUGCUUGGUACAGACCUAAUAUUCAAAAAAUUAGUCAUCCAUGUACUAGUUUUUAUUUUGUCCCAAUACUUAGACUCUUAGAUCAUAGUCUAGAAAACCAUGGAAGGUCCAGAUGCCUUCCUUUUCAGCAUCUUGUUGGCAAAUUAAGGAGACAGUUACAUCAAAGACCACAAAAGAGGUAGGAACAGUGAAGAAGUAUCUAAUCUUAUGAGAUAAUUUACAUCUUUAGUUUUAUAAUUGUUGUGGGUCCCCUUUGUUGCUUUUAUGAUGGCACCAAUGCAUUUCAUGUUAUCGAGGCACUGUUGCUGAAGAAAAUGAAUUUCUCUAUGCUUCAGUCUUUUGUUUGUGAAUCACUUGCUAGUGUGAAGAGGAUCUCAGGCCUGUAGACUGACCAUGGUCUGUCUCUGUAUAUUGACUAGAAACAACCCAGUGUAAAAAAAACAUUUUGGUAUGAUUUGUCGUUUUCUUGUAAUUCUUUAUGUUGGAAAAGAAGUAUUGCUAGUAUGUAUGACUAUCUCAACUCAUUUAUGCAUUAUUCUGGAACGGCAUGCUCUUUCCUUUUACUAAAGUCUAGAACAAGUAUACCAUGGCAUUCAGUCUCUAUCACAGAAUUACAUUUGCAUUUGACAAAAUUUACCUUUGUGUUAUGCGGAUGUCAUCAAUCAUUCAAUGAAUCUUUGUUUAAAGUACGUUAACAUAACUAGAAGUAGCCUUCUUUUGUUCCUCCUACAAUUUUUGUUUGACUAAUAACUUUUACUUGUAUCACCUUGGCUUGUCUAUCCUAUCAGUAGGUGAGUUCAAGUUUUCUUAGUUUACAGGAAUACCUCCAGUUUCAUGCAUGGUGCUCAAUGCCUGUAUUUUCCUUUAUGUCAUUGUUGACAUCUGAUUUAUUGAGUACUCAUUUCUUUAUUGCGAUUGCAGAGAUAUCCAAGCAAGCAGUGUCCUUCUUGAUGAUAAAUACGAAGUGCGACUUGGGAGUACGAGUGACAUAUGCGCCCAGCAAAGUGGGGGAAGCCAGAAUGUCUUCUCUCGGAUAUUGAGAUCGUCAAAGUAAGAUUACUACCUUUCACUUUUCUUUCCUUUUCAUGUAGCACACAAGAGAACAAUAUUCUCAUUAAAUGGCUGAAUUUUAUGUUUUUUUAGUUUGCUUUGAUUUUUAUUGGUGUUAGUAUGUAGGCAGUGUUGAUUUGGGUACUGAAAUGCACUCAUAAAAGGCAUAGUAAAAUAAACAUCACCUUUAUUCUUACAUAUAGGUUAGUUUACUUAAGUUGUCUUUGUAGGCUCCGUUGAAUGUAUUGUGGUUGAGAUGUCUGCCCAAUACGUGAUGUUACCAUCGCUAGUUGAGUGGGAGUAGUUAAAUGAUACAUGAACAUGUUGUUGGUGAUAUUGCGCUGAAUUUCAGAUAACCUAAGGAAUCUGCUUUUCAGGCAUGUAUUGGUUUAUUGUUGGUGACUGGUAGUUGGUAGUUCACUGUCUUGUGCUGCUACUGUGUGUAGUUGAGCAAACUCCAACCUUGUGUGUGCCUGAGACCAUUUGUGUUUUCCUCUGAAGUUGGUAACUGACCUUUGGUAUCUGACGCUUUGUUGUGGCAGGUCUCUCGACAAGCACACAUCAGGUUCGUAAAUGUUCCACAUCUGCUGCUCCUUUUUGUAAUCCAUGUUCAUAUGAACAAACUCUGGAAAAUUUGUCAACGAAAAACUCCUAAAAAAAAUUCUCCUCUACCUUGCAUGACAGGUCCACCGGCCACUUGCUCCUACGACGUCCUCUGCUUCGGCAAGGUGCUGCUGGAGCUGGUGACCGGCAACUUCGGCAUCAGCGGGUCGAACGACGCCGCCUCGGAGGAAUGGCUGGCGAACACUCUUAACCAGAUCAACGGCGGCGACAAGGCGAGCGUCACGAGCAUCAUCGACCCCUUGCUCCUCGUCGACGAGGACCACCAGGAGGAGGUGUGGGCGGCGGCGAUCAUCGCCAAGGCCUGCCUGAGCGCCAAGCCCUCGCGGCGGCCGUCGGCGCGGCACGUGCUCCGCGCCCUGGAGAGCCCGCUGCGGGUGGUGCGGCAGAGCUCAUCGUCCCGGUCCGACUCGGCCCGGCUGCGGAGCUCGUCGUCGAGGAGCUCGUGGCAGUCCGUGUUCUUACAGGGGAACAACCACCGGGUGCAGAGCCUGGACCGGCGGCACUCGGUGAGGUCUCACGGGAGCGGCGGGGAGGCGUCGUUCUCGUUCUCGUUCAAGAGGGCCGUGGCGGCGGCCCCGGAGGUCGCGCCGGAGCCGGUGGCGGCGGCGCUCGACGAGGAAGCCGUUGUUGUGUAGUGUUACUGGUAGCGAGUAGGACGCCAUUUCUUGGGUUCUUUCUUACAGGCAUUCCUGAUUCUUUCCUUACGUGAUGUCAGUCACAUCGCAUUGUGUGUAUAAUUUGUUGUUGUUGUCUGAUGCGUUGAUGCGGUGUUCCAACAUGACAAGAAAAUAAAAACUGUGCAUAAAGAGCAUGUUUUCAAAUAUUUUGAGUGAAUUUUAAACUUCUUUUUAGGAUUUCUCCUCCAGAGUCCUCAGCUUCUUCUCCGUGCAGAUGACAAUUAAAAACGGAAAGGUGAUAUGCAAAUGGGCCGCCGUGGGCGCACAGAUGGCUCUCCGGCCCAGCCUAGCCCACCCAAAUUAAGGGCAUUGAUCCAUCACUAUAUGGUACACGUGGCCCAAUAGGGUAAACAAGACGAGAGGCGGAAGCAGCAGCGGCAUGGCGUCACGAUUCCUCCUCCGCGCUGGCGCCCUGUCGGCGCGCGGCCACCGCCUCCUCGCCGGUCAGAUCGUGGGCACGCCGCCGUUGGCUGCCGCUGCAAGCGUCGCACUCGCCGGUCAGGUCUGCCGUCCGUUCCCAACCGUCACCUCCAAUCCCGACGUGACGCUGAUCACAUCUCUUUCCACUGGAUCGUGCUAACGCGAGCUAAGCCUAGCUAGAUCUGUACUAUCGCGUUCGUUCUUCAAAAACGCUGCCUAAUUCGUUUAAAACCCAAACUUUGUUAGUUUGAAUGAAUUAGCCGAUCUUGUUUGAUUUUAAAUCUGUUGUAGGCUGCUGCUGCAGCAGCAGCCGCCGGCCUGAUCCUCGUUCAGAUUUCAGAAGGCGAAUGAAAAUUUAAAUUCGUUUUCUUUUCACUGAACCCUUGUUACAAGUGGCAAUUAUCCGGCACCACUGUACAGCAGUGUCAUUGUCACGAAGAUCAAAUACGAGGCUAGAGAUCGUCCCCAAUUCCCAUUGGAUGAUUGUUGCAUCGGCUCUCAUUUUUCUUUUCCCCAAAAUGUUUGCAAAUGCGGUUCUUUACUCUUCCCUAUGGAUGGCCAAUGCAAGUUCAGCAGAGCUUUCAAAAAAGGUGGGAAAAAGUUGCAAUUAUUGUAUGCUAUAGAUGAAAUUUGUUUUCUUUAAUCCCUACAUUGAUGCAUUGUAAUAAUUACUAUAACAAGAAAUUAAAAAUCGAUGCAGGGCCUUCGCCAUUACCCAGCUACAUCCAGACCUCGCAGCAGCAUAGCCGAGCUGGACGAAGCCAUGGCGAACGUGGAGGGGAGACUGGACGCGAUCGAGGCGGCAAACCGUCAUCAGCACAGCAGCAAGGCGAUCCUGACCAAGAGAUCCAGCAUCAGAUGGGUGCCUCCCGAAGCCGGGUGGGGUCAAGAUAAACGUGGACGCCUGCUUCGCGGAAGAGUUCGGCGAGGCCACGACCGGGGUGGUGAUCCGCGACGAGCGCGGCGGGGUGAUCCUGUCGGCGACGCAGGAGCUCCGAUCCCCGCCGUGCUGGAGGAGCUGCCGGCCCGCUCCUCCAAGGAAGAAGCCCGGCUGGCGGCGUGCAGGAGAGGGCUUGCACUGGCUCUCGAGCACGCGCAGGCAACGCGUGCGAUAAUGGAGUCCGAUUCCGCCGCCUGCAUCGACGCCCUCACGCGGACGUGCAGAGACCCUUCCCGGCUGCCGGCGAUCAACCGGGAGAUCAUGGAGCUCAAAGGAAGGAUUCGAGGAGCUCAGGUUCGCCAAGUCCAUCAAGAGGCGCCAGAACACUGUGGCUCACCUCCUGGCCCUGGAGGCUAGGGGCUGGGGCAGCUCCGUGUGCUUCAAGGGGGUUCCAGCCUUCAAGGUUGUGCUCAGCAACAGGUGCUUGCUGAAUCAUCGGGUCCUACGGUCCUAUCCCCAGAUGAUUACUUGAUACUCUGUCCCCCUUUCGCGAGAGAAUCGGAUUAAAAAAACAUUUAUUCGUCAUAGAAGUAAUUAAUUGAUACUAAUGGAUUGCUCAAUUAGAAUCUUUAUUUUCUUGUGUUUUUUUGCAAUUCUUUAUGAGGUGCUCGUGUUUCUUUUCUCAUGCCAAUUCACAGUCCUUGCCAUGUGUAACCUUUUCUGUUUUACUGUUUAUGAUACAUGCGUAUGAUCCGACGUUCCAACUUGACUAAAUGGGAAUUGUGCAUAAAGAACAUUUUCUUAAGAAAGGAAAUACCUUUUCCUUUUUUUCCGAGUAAAUUUUAUUUUUUCGAGGGACGAGUAAGUUUUAUAAAUGAAACAUUCCCCCACGGAAUAUAUCUUUCUCGCUCGCUCGCUCGGAGUGUGCAAAUGGGCCGUCGCACACAGGUGGCGGCCCAGUAUGGCCAAACUUUUGCUCACUGAUGUCGGGCGAAGUGGGAGGAGGUUGCUGCGCUGAAACAGCCGAAGAGCGACGGGGAAAAGAGCGGCGGCGGCAUGGCGGCGCGACUCCUCCGCAAUGUGGCAUCCGCUGCGGCCUGAUCGGCGCGCGGCCACCGCGUCACCGACCCCUCUGGCGCCAUUGCUGGUCCCGGAAGCCGAGGCAUCGCCCCCGCCGCUCAGGUCUGUUCUUUCCCCAUCGAAUCCCCUUGCUCAGCUUCCCGUGUGUGCUAUCCCUAGCUCCGUGCACGCGAUGCCCCGUUGCUGCCCAGCUGUGAUUGGCUGGGAGGCGAGGAUCUCCUCGGCGUCCAUCUAAUUCAUCUGGGCGCAGCAAUACUAGCGAGCUUGGGAUGUUUCUUUUUAUUUUUAUUUCAUGCCUUCCCGAGUCAUGGAGUCGGGCGUGAGCAUUUCGAAAUCCUGUCUGGCUGUCCGCACUGAAAUCUCUACAGGAUUUUUAGUCCCGCUGCUCCAUCCGCGAAAUUGAGCGAGCAUAUUCACUUUUUACUUGAAUCUACCGUGUGUGCUACUUGACAAUUUGUAGUUGCAGUAGCCUGAAUUUUCCUUCCUGCAUGUUAGACUGCUCGAUUAUUAUUAUUUUUCCUCCUUUAAAAUUGAUGAUGCAUUCCUGAAGACAAGCCAGCAUUUUUAUCAAUCCUUGAAUAUCAAACAAAACCUAAGGAACAGGGCAAGCAAGGAACAGAACCACCUUAUGGCCUUGGUCGAAAAAUCAGGUGCAGAACUCAAUUAUAGGGUCAUUUGCAUUAUUGCGUCCUAAGGCUGAAUCUGAAUGCAUCACAGAAACCUGAUCCCUGAUUAUGUGCGCUGUUUGUUUAGUUCCACAAGCACCUUUUUUGUCCUCACACUGCUUGCAGCAAUGAAAGUUUCAUUAGAAAGUUUUUCAUUGUGUGACAAUGCAAAAAGGAGUUUAUCACUGAUGAUCAUGUUAGCUAAUUGGCUUGAUGGUUGGUUUACCUUGCAGUAGUGUGGUUUGAGGAGAAUUAGUGCUUGGCCCAAAUCCUUGCACACUUUUUUGAUGAUCGCACAUUCAUGUUACUGUUUAAGCAAAUCAAUCUUUGAUCAAAGUAGACAGCCUACAACCAACAACUCAGUUGAAUCCAUAGUGGCAUAGUCCCAUACUCAGUGUUAUGUGUGGCUGGUUGAAUGAACAACACCAAUUGGUUAAAAAUGCAGUCAUCUUACAUUUUGCAUAUCUCUAAUUGAGCAAUGGUAAAACAACUUUCCUUAGUCCAAUCAUAUCAGAUUGGACAAACAAAUUAAAUUAAGAUCUGUCCUUGCUCAAAACAGAUCAGAUUGAACAAAUCUAUCUCCUUUUUUUUGGGUUUCCUUUUGGUUGUCACUCUACAUGGUACAUGUAGUUCAUCCUUUUUUUUAUAAUGCAUUAUAAGAAGGCAAUGCUUUUACUGAGCUAAUUACAAAAUUUCCAUGCAGGGCCUUCGUCAUUAUGCAACACCAUCCAGUGAAGCAGUGGGCUCGGAAUUGGAUGCACCCAAGGUGAAGCGUAAUCGAUCAAGUAUCUCAAAGAAAAGCGGAACAGCCAUGAUGCUUCCACUCCAUCUCCAUUACGAAGAUGUACUUCGUCAGGAUCUGUUGCUCAAACAGAAUCAUGCCAAUAUCAUGCAAGUUCCUGGAUUGUAUGAGAUCAGAUUAGUACCAAAAGCAGGUUCUGAUUUGAGGGUCCCAAUCGGAAAAUUGGCAAUGGAGAUUUUGAGCGGCCAGAGAUUCAAAGAGGCACAAGUUGACCCUUUUGCUAAAGCAAGAAAGUCUGCUCGAACCAAUCCAUUCAUUGGGCAGGCAAAGACAGUGGCAGCGUCUUUGCACGACAGAGUGUUCUCCGAGGGCAUGCAAUGUACAAUUUCUUGGUCAGAAUGUUGACAGUGAUGUCCAUGCUCGAUUCUCAGGCUGAAAUUCGGGAAAACACCAUAAAAUUCUUCAUGGAGACGGAGUUCUGUGAGUUCUCCCCGGAACUGGAAGACCACUUUGAGAUCUUUGAGCAUAUCUGAGGGUUCAACGUAACUAUUGUCACUUUGGCCGACACAAAAGAUGAGACCUCACUGCUGUGGAGCGGCUUCAUGCUAAAUGAUGAGGGGGAAACCAAGUAAGGUAAUACGGUAAUAGUGCCUAUCUUUCUCUACGCUGUAAUAUCCCUGACAUUGUACUUUCUGCCCUGCUUGAACUGAACCUUCAGUUGACUGUUUGGCAGGGGCUGAAGGCAGUCGCUGAUGUCAAAAUGGUUCUGGAGUUUUGGUGGUUCUUGCUCAAGGAGUAGAAUGCAGCAUCCAUCAGUUUUGUAGACUGAAUGAAGCCUGCGUGAUUGUUAUUUCUUAUUUGUAGCGAUGUAUGGAGCUCAUGUUUGAUUACUACAUCUAGUACUAUGGACUUAAUAAUCUAGGCUCUAAAAGUGUCUUUCGCUUAUUUCUGUGGUUCCUGAUGUGGCAGUAAUAUAGAAUGCUCGUUUCUGUUUGUCAAAAACAUUACAAGAGAGGGCAAUGAAACGGAGCUCAUCUUUACUACAUGUAGUACUGUGAACUUAUUAUUAGUUCAAGUUCCAUUUUGCUUGUCUCUGGCUCCUGUCCUGUAACAUGGAAAGCCUGGUUGUUUCUCGAAAUCACUGUAAUAGGGCAUAUUUCCUUGUCUUACAGAUCUUUUUUUUUAAAAAAAAACUGAAGCCCCAUCGCAGAUCUUUUUGUUAAUUUGUUUGAUCCGCUUAUGGUCCGGUGUUCCAACCUGAGAAAUUAUGCAUAAGGAGAAUUUAUAACCUUUUCUUUUCAGCUGGAGGGAGAGCCGCAGAGGGUCAACCCCUGCCGGGGAGCACGAAACAGAGCUCGGGUCUGCUCCCAUGGCCAAGGAGCUAGAUUUUGAUAGGAAUUUGGAACUCUUGGAAGAUGGUGGGAAAAAAUUAGAAAGAUACGGUGGGCACCGAAGCAGGAAGACGGGCAAAAGUGCACUGAUCCUGUUUGUUAGCCAUCAGAAGGUGAGAGAGGUAUAAAGGAGGCAUAUAAUUAGAGUUUGCUCAUGGUUUUAUACUAGAGGGUAGGUGGGUUUGUAUGGACGUUAACAAUGGUAGAAAAAUUCACAUUCGGCCAAAUUUUGGAUCGGUUUGGUUUUAUUUUGAUGCUCACCAAAAUGGGUAAAUUUCAGGUUUCUUUGGACUGAAUUGUAGAGCCCUACUUCUAUGCAUUAAAUGAAGUGCAAUGGGAAAGCUACACCUUGAUUUCCACGAUGAAUAAUUAUUGCCAAAAGACUUUCUAAGGUCCUGUUCAGUUCCCCCAAACUCCCAACUUUGACACUACGCAAAAAGAAGAUUCCCCAUCAUAUCAAACUUACGGUACAUGCAUGGAGUACUAAAUGUAGAUGAAAUCAAAAAACUAAUUGCACAGUUUUGUUGUACUUUGUGAGACGAAUCUUUUGAGCCUAAUUAGCCAAUAUUUGGACAAUAAUUCACAAAUACAAACGAAACGCUACAGUGUGCUACAGUGCUAUAACAGUGAUUUUGCAUCUUCAAAGUUGGACAACUAAACAAGGCCUAAGUAAAAUGGUCGAGGUCCAUAAAUGUUAGAUGAGGAUUGUUUAGACUUGAGCAACGUUAGAGGGUGUUUGGAUCCAUGGAUUAAUUUAUAGUUCAUGUCACAUCGGAUGUUUGUAUACCAAUUAGAAGGACUAAACGCGAACUAAUUAUAAAACUAAUUGCAUACAUGAGGGUUAAUUCACGAGACGAAUCUAUUAAACCUAAUUAAUCCAUAAUUAACACAUGUUUACUGUAGCACCACAUGGGCUAAUCAUGGACUAAUUAGGUUUAAUAUAUUCGUCUCACGAAUUAGCCCUUAUUUAUGCAAUUAGUUUUAUUAUUAGACUAUAUUUAAUACUCCUAAUUAAUGUGCAAACAUCUGAUGUGAUAGAGAUUUAGUUCGGGUAUCCAAUAGAUUUGUCUUGCAGGGAGUACUAAAAAUCAUACCCCAAGACACAUACCCAAAGAGAUAGGGAUGCUAUUGAAUCUAGCAGUUUUAGAUUUGUCUGAAUGGCUCGAUUCCCCCGAGCCUAGGAGAAAAAGCUAAAAUAAUACUUGGGUUUCUAUAGAAAUCUCAUACAAGGACCCAUUCCUCAGAGUAUAGGAAACCUUACGGGACAGAGCUCUCUGAUCCUUUCCGAUAACUAGAUAGCCGGUUCUAUUCCUCCGACCAUAGGAAACCUUACCAAACUCAACCUGCUAAGCUUGUACACCAACCGAAUUGCCGGUUCCAUUCCUCGAACGAUAGGGAACCUUGAUCAGCUGAACAUUUUAGAACUUUAUGACAACCAGAUUGCUGGUGAUAUGCCCAAUGAGAUGGGCAAUCUCAUCAAUGUCGUCAUCCUGUACCUGGACGGCAACAAGAUUUCAGGAUCAAUCCCAGCGACUUUUGGGAACCUGACAAACAUGAGAAACCUGAGCUUGUUUGAUAACCAGCUGUCAGGGACUGUCCCGCGAGAAUUCGCGAACCUCACAGGUAUGGUCAAAUUCAGCAUAGGGAACAACUCCAUCUCGGGAUCUUUCCCGUCAGACGUGUGCAAGGGAGGACGGCUUCAGAUGUUUGUUGUCUGCAUGAACAACCUAACUGACCCUGUUCCGGCAAGCUUAAGGACAUGUAACAGCUUGACGCACAUCGAUAUUAGUUUCAACAAAUUCACGGGUGACAUAUUUGUUGCCUGUAGCGAACAUGAUUCAUUAGAUUAUAGUUCGUGAUUUUGGUGAUUGAGUGACAACAUAUUCAUUGGGCGUAAUGUCUUGUCUAGUAUGUAUAUUGUAGAUUUUUUAGUCCUAAGAAUGCAAAUCGAACCAUGGUAAGGUCCAAAUCAUAGUAUUUAAGUAUCCAAGCUAUAGUAUUCUUGAUAUCCAAAUCAUGGUAUUCAAGUUUCCAAGCUAUGGUAUUCAAGUGACCGAGCUAUGCUGUCUAGGAUUAUUCUGUGGUAUUCAAGCAUCCAAAUGACAGAGCAUCCAAGUGACGGUAUGUUUGGUGCUUGCAAUGGACGAGUUAAAGAAAAAAAAAGUACCAUCAGAUGUUCCGACGGUUCAUCGGAGCAAGUGUUGGAGUGAGCAUCGGACGAAUUGGUACAACUGCAUGCGGCAACCUGAGUCAAGACCUUUGGAUGUUCCGAUGCCCAUCAGAGCAAGCGUUGGAGUGAGCAUUGGACGAAUUGGUACAAAUGCAGGCGGCAACCUGAGUCAAGACUAUUGGAUGCUCUGAUGCCCCAUUUUCAAGAAGCGUCGGAUGAAUUCUGAGGUGAAUGCGCGGGAAGCAGAGGAAACCCUAGACCAUCGGAUAUUCCAAUGCUAGGUCAAGAGUAGCGUCGGAUGAAGCAUAUUUACUUUGGAAUUGUCCAUAGAGGUUUUGGGAGAAAACCCCUCAGCACCGGAUGUUCCGAUGGUGCCAUCGGAGGAACCAUCAGAUGAAUUUUGGAUGUGUCAGUGAAGAACUUGGGCGUGGGGAGGCCAACGGCUUUGCACCGGAUUUUCCGAUGCAUGCCAAAAUAGACCAUCGGAACAUCCGAUGGUAUACUUUAGCUAGCCGUUGGAGCAACGGCUCUUUGAUGCCUUGGGCUAUUUAUACCCCCUCCACUCGUCCAUUUGGAGUUGCUGGAGUGUGCAGGAAUCCAUUGGAGAUCAAGACUCAUCAAGAACACAUUCAAGCCACCAAAAGUGCUUAAGUGAUUUAUCAGUCUUAGCACAAGCUUAGGAGAGUGAUUAGUGCUAGGAUAGGCCUAGAGAAAGAGAGAGUGCAAGGUGUACCUACCUUGUGAUCGGUUCUAGGAGUGAACCAUAGUUACAAAGUGUGCCGGCACCUUGGAGUCUUGGUGGCUCACCGGCAAGUCUUCGACCCUCCGACUUGGUGUGGAGCGGCGUUGACGAUCGUGUGCGGGGGACAUGGAGACCCCCUUCCUUUGUGGAGAAGCUUCUUAGUGGAGACCGCAUCAAGGCGACUGGGGAACUUGAUGUGAGCCUUAGUGGCUAACCCUUUAUGGUAAGUCAAGGGGUGUCCCAGAGAGACUUGGUAACCGGGAAGCAAUACUCUUAUGUCAGUGCUUCAACAACGUGAGCUAGUGGUGGUUUAGUGCUUACCGAUACCACGGGAUAAAUCAUCGUGUCAAGAGUUUACUUCUCCUCAUCCUCACCUCUUACGUUUCUGUAUUUCAUACUUGUAACUUGUGUGCCUUUACUUUCUUAGUGUAGUAUCUUGCCUGAAUUGGCUCUAGGUUGCAAAACUUAUUUUGGGAUGAGGGUUUUACACUAGAUCAACCAUAGUUGCACAUCUUGAUAGUAUGAUCUAGUUUAAAUUUGAUGUAAAAGUAGUAGAAGCUAUAGGUUAACGUUUUAAGUUGCCUAAUUCACCCCCUCCCCCUCUUAGACUAGGAGUACCGAUUCCUUACGGUGCCUAUCCCCAUCUUAUUAAAGCAAACUUGAGAUCAAACAACCUUCGUGGGGAGCUCACCCCAAACUGGGCAGCAUCCACCACCAUGAUUAUGUUCAACGCAGGAGAAAACAUGAUCACCGGAAGAAUACCACCCGAACUGUCGAAACUGACCAACUUGGAAUCGCUUAAGCUCUAGUCCAAUUUUCUCACUGGUGAGAUACCACCUGAAAUUGGCGACUUAACCAACCUUUACACACUCCAUUUAACAAAUAACCAGCUGUCAGGGCCAAUACCUUCUCAGUUUGGUCAACUAAGCAACUUGCAGUUACUUCAUUUGGGUUUGAAAAAGUUGAGUGGGCAAAUUCCAGAGGAGCUAGGAAGAUGCAACAAGCUACUGUCCUUGUACCUGAACAACAAUAGCUUGACUGGAAACUUGCCAGGUGCAAUAGGAAAUUUGGUGAAUCUACAAAUUAUGUUGGGUGUCAGCAGCAACAAGCUUAGUGGUAGACUGCCACGGCAGCUUGGGAACUUGGCAAUGUUAGAAUCUUUAAAUCUCUCUCACAACCAAUUCUAGGGAGGUAUACCGCCCAUUUUUGCAAGUAUGGUUAGUCUGAGAACCCUAGAUGUCUCAUACAACAACUUGGAAGGACCACUGCCAACGGGGCUUCAUCUGCAAAAUCUAUCAAUAGCUUGGUUUGUCCAUAAUAAAGGUCUCUGCGGCAAUCUCAGAGGCUUCCUUCCACUUACAACGCCAGACAUCAUAAGGGGAAAGAAAAAUUCCAUUCUCUGAUGAUUGCAGUUCUUGUCCCAGUGGGUGCUGUUAUUGCACUUACAAUUGUUGCCGCUGUAAUGUUUUUCUACAAAAAGGAGAAGCAGCAAGAAAGGGUUACUACUGAAAUAAGAGAAGUAUUCUCCGUAUGGAACUUUGAUGGGAAACUAGCAUUUGAGGAUAUUGUCAGGGCAACUGAGAAUUUCAGCGACAAGUACAUCAUUGGAGUGGGAGGAUAUGGCUCCGUGUACAAGGCACAACUCCAGGAUGGACAUCAAGAGGCCGUGAAGAAGCUUCACCCAACUGAAGAGGAGAUUGAUGAUGAAAGAAGACUUCAUGAUGAAAUUGAAAUCUUAGUAAAGAUUCGACAACGAAGCAUUGUCAAGUUAUAUGGGUUUUGUUCCCACCCACAUUACAAAUUUCUUGUCUACGAUUAUAUGGAGAGGGGAAGCCUUUGCGCUGCCCUACAACAAGAGGAUGUAGCCAAGGAGAUGGAUUGGACAAGAAGAAUUGCUCUUGUAAAGGAUGUGGCUCAUGCUAUAUCGUAUUUGCACCAUGAUUGCAGCCCACCAAUAAUACAUCGAGAUAUAACAAGCAAUAAUAUAUUGCUGGGCAGGAAUCUCAAGGCACACGUUUCAGAUUUCGGCACUGCAAGAAUUCUAAAGCCUGAUUCAUCAAAUUGGAGUGCCCUAGCAGGAACAUAUGGCUACAUAGCUCCAGGUAUGUCAAAAACUUUUUGUCUGUCAACCGCUAACUGCUACUAGUCUUCUUUGAAAUCAAAUAAGGCUAAUACUCUCAUUUAUUUGGAAUAGAGAUGUCGUACACAUCUGUGGUGACAGAAAUGUGAUGUUUUUAGCUUUGGUGUGGUUGUGCUGGAGGUGCUAUUGGGAAAGCAUCCAGGAGACCUACUUCAGUCUCAUUUAGAGGAUCAUAUGUUAGUCAAGGAAUUUCUCGACCAACGGCCUCCCCAACCAACAAAAAUAGAGGAGAAUGAUGUGACUGAACUAGCUCAAGUAGCACUGGCUUGUUUGCAAGCUUCUCCUCAAGCACGACCAACAAUGAAGGAGGUUUACCAAGGGCUAAACAAGUCUGGAUCUUGACUAUAAAUAUACUUACACAAGGCCGGCCAACUAAAGGAUGCAUAAAUGUGUUCCAAAGGACUUGCUGCAAUGUUACUCAAUUAUUUUUUUAAUCAAGGAAAAUAUCCGGUCUUAAAUAUUCACGUGUGAAUGUCUAUAACCACAAAGAAAUAAAUCUGGCUACAUAGCCAGAUGAUACAUAAGUACUUGGACUCCAAAUCCUCUACACAGAGGCACUCAAAACAAAAAGAAAGGAAGCUAAAGACUAAGCGAGAAAAUAAAGACUAAGCUUCAAUCUCCUUUCAAACUUGAAUUGUCCUCAUGCAGCAACUCACGGAGCAACAGUCCGUCGUCUCUCGUCUACUUAAAAACAGUUGAUGAUAAAACAUUACUGCCACAAUAUAAGCAAUCUCGACCAUGGCAUCGCAGGGCUCAACAACUCCUCCAUGGUGACGCCCCGAAGAGGGAAGCGACGUAAAGAUGCUGCCGCCGCUAGAACCAGCCAAGUAGUUCAAAGGUUUUCACCUGAAGAAGACGGCAAUAUCCUUCCAACGACGCAUUGAGGAGGGAAUGCACAAUAUCACCGCCGCCGUCGACGAUCAAGUAGAGCUUUCACCCAAAAGACCUGCCAUGAGCCCAAUCCGCUGCACCAUCAGUUCCGGCGAUGUGCGCGUCAACUGCGACCUGCCGUAGGCAGCCACCCUAGGGAACCGCGCGCCCACUGCGGCCUGCCGAGAGCCUGGCGUCCCCUGGCCGCGCGCCGGUCGCGGGCACAGCCGCUGCCGCGCCACGGAAGGAGGGACGCCGUGCGCUAGCCGCGGGCGCCGCCGCAACCGUGCCACGGAGGGCGCCGGGUCACGCCGCUCGCCGCCCGCUGGGCCCUGCCGCUCGCUGGCCGCACGCCGGGCUCCGUCGCCGCUGCCGGGAGGCACCGCACGGCCCCGACGUGCCGCUGCCCCGAGGCAGCAGAUCCGGCGGCUGGGGGUGCGGAUCCGGCCAUCCACUUGUGGAUCCAGCGGCGCACCGCUGGAGACAGCCGCCGCCGCCAUGGACGACCAAAGAGAGCACGAGGGGGAGGGAGGAAGGAGAGAAGGAGGGAGGGGCGGUGGAGCUCCGCCGCCGCCUUCCUAUUUGUGCAUUUCUUUGUGGAAUUGAGGCAGAUACUUCCUUGUACUAUCAAAGAGUGGUUGAUAAUUUUAUCUAUAGAACUGACAAAAUGUGUACUUGACUUUUCUCAUUAUCUAUUUAAAUGUAACUGAACUGGUUCUUGAAAAAGAGUGAAAAAUAAGAACAUUACGUGUGCAAACCACAUGACCUUUCUUCCAACAAAAGACCAACCGCACAAGCUUUAUUAGAAUUCGAUCAUCAGCUACGUCAUCUACUUAAACACAAUAACGCAAAACAGAGCCCAUAAGCCAAAUAACAAGAUGAAAAUGCAAGCAUAGAAGUAAAACGAGGCAUCUACGCUGACCAUCAGGGGAUUGCUCGGCGUCGCCUCCCUUGCAUCCAGAAUCUUGCCGAGUAUUUCCCUGACAACGGAGGGGCAGCUCCUCGCCAGAUGCUCGACGUCGUCGGUCGCCAUGACUGCCCUCGUGUUCCUCCCGGAGGCGAUGAACUCCAGGCACUUCUUCUUGAGCUUCAAGCACUGGUGGUGCUCCGCUAGCGCCAACAUCGGCAACACCGUGCUCACGCUGACACUGUGCCUGCACAGCUUGUUCUCGGUGAGUGACUUCAGAUCCUUGAGGUUGAAUCGAUCCGCCGCCACGAGCAGGUCCUGGGCCAACGCGGGGGCUUCUUCCCGUGCGGUCGCCGUCGUCGCCGUCGCCGGCAGUGUGUCGGUGUAGAUGUAGUGCAGCAGGGCCUCGAACGCGUCCGGGUGCAUGUCGCAGAUGCGGAUGUAGCCGGUGGUCUUCUCCUUGUCCGGGCCGAAGAAGUCCGCCAUGAAAACCGGUGACCGGGCGGCGAGCACGACCUUGUGCGCGGCGAACACCCUGCCGCAGACCUCGAAGUCCACGUCCGACCCUGCCUCGGUCUCGAGGAGGCGGCCGAGAUCCGCCGGCAGCCCGGACAUGGAACGCAGCGCCCUCACGGCCGGUGGCGCCGCCGGCAGUGGGGAAGACGGUGGAGGCGCCCUGCUUGCUCCCGCCGCCGGCGGUGCUGCCUGCUGGACGGAUGGUUGCGGCGGCGAGGGCCUCGCGACGGCCGGAGUGGCGCCGGCGGUGGGGAAGACGGUGAAGUCGCACCGGAUCACGAAGCGAUUGUGAUUGACGACGAGGUCCAAUUUAUCGAGGUCCUCCCGCGAGACGAAGCGCUCGCAGCCGAGCGUUUCCUGCCGCCCGCCGCCAAUGGCGCCGGCGACCGUGGAGGACACGAGGCGCGGCGCCGCGCAGCCCACCUUGUGCAGCGUGAACCUCGACUCCACGCGGACGACGUCAUCGUCGGCGACGGGUCCGGCUCCGGCGUCGUCCAGAAGGAGGUAGACAGAUACGGAGCCGGUGGUGCCGGCGAGCCUCCCGUUGGGGUAGAAGGCGAUGCGCCAGGAGUGGCCGCCGGCGGCCACCGCGAUGGACCUGAGGCACCUGCCAUUGCCCAGCUUCUUUGUCUCCGAGUAGCUGUCGACGAGCAACGAGAGCCUUCUGUCGCACCGCGACAUCGCGGUGCCCGGCGGCGGCGGCGGUGGCGCCGCCAUGGCAGAACCCUAGAGGCGGACGUUGCCACGAAUAAACCACGCCUGUAGAGAUGGGAGAAACAGGAAUUUUUAUAACAGAAGAUGGCCACAUUUUGAUACGCUAUCAUCAAUCACGCGUGAUCUCCAAUCUCUAUCUCUAUCUCUAUCUCUAUCUCUACUCCUACUUAUACUCCUACAAAAACGCAAAGAGGCGACGCGUCGUACGUCGGGGGUCCUCCGCUCCAUCGUCCCUCGCCUCCUCAACCAAGGCCGCCGCCGCCUGAUUCUGCCGCUUCCCGGGCUCCGUCUCCGCCCCAACGAGCUCCGCCGCCCCUAUUGGGCUCGCGGAGGCGGAGGAUGCCAUCCUGCGGCGCGCCCUCGAGGUGCGCCGCGCGGUGGCCGCCGAGGCGCUCGUGGCCGCGCUCAGCGGCGGGAAGGUCGGCGGCCUGACGUACGUCAAGAACCUCACAGCGCGGAUGGGGCCGUUUGUCGACCGCGUCGUCGUCGAGGCCGCCGCAAUGCGGCGGGACCGGCCCGACCUCGCGCACAUGUCCUUCAACGCGCGGGCGAAGGCGUACAUCCAGGAGUCCGGCCUUGUCGAGCUAGUCAAGUAAAGAUCCCAGCUUUGCAAUCCUUCAUCUGUUUCCUUUGUUUAUUUCUGUUCUGUUUGCACAAGAAUUGUGAUAAUUCGAAUACCAGAGGCAUUGCAAAUCAUAAAAAUGCAAGUUUGUAGUUUAUACACGUGAAAUUUUCCUAUUAUGAUUGUGAUGAUUACAAUUACAUACUUCAGGUGGUUCAAGCACAAUUCGAUGACAUAUCCCCAAAUUGCCAAAGUUGUUUGCGCUUGUUCUGGCGAUUUGGGGAAAGUAAGGACGAUGAUAAAGUGGCUGAGGUCAAUUUAUGUAAAAGGAGAUUUUUUGGGGCGUGUCCUUGCAAACGGUGGAUCUUUUCUGAACCGAAGCUUUGAAGAGUUGGAAGAUAUUAUUGGCUACCUGGAAAGCUGUGGCGUGAGGAGAGACUGGAUUGGUUAUGUGGUCAGUAGAUGUCCCCAGCUGCUGAAUCUGUCCAUGGAUGAGUUGGAGACACGAGUGAGGUUUUAUACAGAUAUGGGUAUGGAUGAGAAAGACUUUGGCACGAUGGUCUAUGAUUAUCCAAGAGCUCUUGGAUUUUUAAGCUUGGAAGAGAUGAACAGUAAGGUGUUUGCUUUACGUUUAGUUUUACUUCUGUGCUAUAUUCGUCGCACACUGCACAUUGGCAGGAUUAUUAGCCUCUUUUCUUUUAUGCAGUUCAUUUUCUGUUCCUCGUUAUGAAAAAAGGUAAAGAAUUGAUCUUCAGAAUGGUUGAAGCUCUAUUUAUUUCAGCUCACUAAUCACUAUGAAAAAAAAUAGGAUGAACAAAACUGAGUCGCGGUAUGCCUUUCGCCUGCUGAAAAAAUAGGAUCAAUGUGCUGAUGAGUAAUAUGUGGUCAUAGGUCUAGAGUUCCAUAUGAAAUAAUCUAGCUAUCUACUUUGAAAGUGUGAACUGCUAAGGAACUCAUUGACUAACCUUCCUUGUACCUUUGGAAGGUUUUUGAUAAACUAAUUAGUUAGUUGAAUAUUAUAUUCAGUUCUUGACUUCUAUUUUUCUAGUUGGUAAUGAAAUAUCAUUCUGGUUCACAGGUUCAAUAUCUGAAAGAGUUUGGUUUGAGCACUGAAGAACUUGGGAGGCUACUGGCUUUCAAGCCACAACUCAUGGCCUGUAGCAUUGAAGAAAGGUGGAAGCCUCUUGUGAAGUAUCUGUAUCACCUUAACGUUUCACGGGAUGGCAUGAAGCGAAUGCUGUUGGUCCAACCUACAAUAUUCUGUCUUGAUUUGGAGACAGUGAUAGCACCAAAGGUAACUUCUUAGUUGCUUUGAAAUAUAUUUGCAUCUUUUUAGCUGUUACACACUUCUUUUCUACUUUUGGUAUUCACAAAAAAUGUUAUGAUUUGUUAAGCUGCUCCAUAAAAAUAGUUUGAUUUUUCAGACUUGCUCUUCAAAGCUCCAAUAGGACUAAGUAUUUAUUUAUUUCUGCAAAGUGUGCCACUGGGAUUUAGAGCUCUGAAUGUUCUGAAGUCAAUUAAUAUGACUCAUCUACCUCUAUGCAAAAUUCUGUUUCAGGUACAAUUUCUACAAGAUAUUGGUGUACGGAGUGAUGCAAGUGGCAAUGUGCUUGUGAAGUUCCCUCCUGUAUUAACUUAUAGCCUAUACAAGAAAAUACGCCCAGUGGUGCGUUCUUAUAUCUUGUUAUUAUUCUUUUCAGUUUUGAUAAUAUUGAUUCAUUUUGUUUGGAUUUUAUUACAUCGGCUUUUACUAUACUUGGUUUCAAUAGGAAAUUAGUGUACAAAUUGUAGGAAUUUUAUUUCACUGACAGUUGGGACAGUACAAAUAGAACCAUAGUAAGUACUGAGUAGUACAGUGAGUCAAAUCUCAGAAAGCCUCAUUCUAUCUAUAGCAUUAACUUCAUUUUUUUUAUAUAAUUGGGACCUUUGAAUAACGAAACUAUUUGACUAUUCAGUGUGCAGUUACUUAAAUAAUUCUCCGUAUUGGUUCAUCAUGAUGAGCUAACACAUAAGCAGUCAAUUUGUGCAUAUACUAAUUGGUCAGACUCCUUCGAGUGAUCUGUUCCUUCUGUUUGUUUCCCCUUUCUUUUCUCCUUUUCUUCUCCUCUGUACAGAACUUUUGUUUUUCAUAUUUAAUAAUAUUACUAGCAUAAAUGUCCGUGCGUUGCUACGGUUUCUUACCUGCUCCCAAGUUGUCAUCCGCUAGCUCCUAGUUUGCUUGCUUCACUUUCUAAUCUAGUUUAGAAUGUUUCAUAAUAUUUGUAUACAUCUCUGAUAAUAAUAAGCGGACAACUCCUUUAAAUUCUACAUGGCCUAUUUGAACGGUGGAAUCUCAAUUUUUAUACAUACGCAAUGUGUCCUACAUCUGGUUCAAACAUGCAUUAAAACUUCUAGUAAGAUUCAGUACUAAUGCAACUUCUGUCUUUGCUUUUAUGAAUAUGCAAGUUAAACAUAAGAGAUUGUCCACAAAACUUUCAACCUAUAAAAAGAAAAAAACUACAAGGCUAAAAUAAAUGCUCAGUCCUUGAUUAUAAUAUGCCCAACAAUUCAUGCUUGGGCUUGACAGCCUGACAUCAUGGCCUAGUUGCUCCAAGAAACAUGAGCAAUCAACCAAUGUAAGUAUCCUUCUGCAAUUUGCUCCUCGUAAUAUAGUCAAUGAUGACCAAAUGUUCUACCUACAAAUUAAAGACUCGGCCAAAUCCGCAUUGGAGGAUUCGACAUUUCUUUCCAGACUUUUUUGCGGGACCCACAUCAGGUCGGCAAUCCAUGGCAGCCACCGGCUAGCACCUUCCUGCCACCAUACCCCUGGCCUCGCAUGGCCGCCGCAGGACGGGGUGCGAAGAGGAUGGGUCGCUACCCCUUGAGCUCACCGUGGCCACAUCGCAACGACUUCGCCCAACCUCCCAACGCCGCUCCUCGAGCUCACCGUUGCCGUGCCGCCGCCCGCCUGAACCUUGCCCCCGACCUUUGCCGCCCCUCAAGCUCCCACUGCGGUCUGUGCAUUUGCAGUGCUGCCGUCCGCACGUGCUUCCCGCCGCAGCCCGCGCGUCCGUGGCGCUGCAACUUGCAGUCGUCACCACUGGUGUUGGCCAUGGCGAACAUGACCGGGUUGACGGUGAAGAGCAGCACAAAUCGGGCUUCCUGAUGUUGAGCGUGAGCUCCCUGCAACCCAAACCGAGCUUCAGACACAAAGCUUGAGCUCUCCGCUUCCAAAAUUGAUCUUCCAGAUGCCAAGCUUGAGCUUCCCACUGCCUGUGAGGAUGGACUAGAAGGGUGCGACUACCGCCGCCCGCGGUGUCGGCGCAGGAAGAGGAAGGGGCAACCUCCCUCGACGCUUGCGCUCUGCAGCCACCGUGGCCAUGGCCUUGUGCCGUAGAUUUCUUGUAUCCCGCGUCACUGGGAGAGUUGAGGGAGGGGGAAUCGUAGCCUGUGCCUUCGGCCGCCGUUGCCUGCAGCGAUUUGCACCGGAAGCAAAGAGGCUGCCGGAAAGAGGAGGGGUAGGCUCGCCGCUUGCCGGUUUUGCUUGGCUUGGGCUCACGAAGGGAGUGCAGGACGGAGAAAAAGAAAGAAGACGAUAGGUGAGAGAAAACGAACUACAGCAGUUUAACUCCUAGGACUGCAGGUUGAUUACGAAAAAGUUGAGGAAUUUUUUUGCAAAAUGACCACGACGGUUGGAAGAAACAACCGCACUUAAUAUUAGGUAUAGAUAUCCAGGAGGGGCUUCUUUCAAAAAGAACUUUGUGCAACAUUUUUUCAGUUAAUCUAUUACAUAUAAAAGAUUUGAACCUAAUAUGCAUCUUUCAGCGAUGAUGCAAUACUUGAAAUUGAACAUCUCAAAUUAACAUCAGUAAAUUUGAUAACUGUCCUAGUGCCUUGUUUGAAAACACAAGUGUUAUGGUGGAACAAGGGACAUAAUUUUUUCAAAGUAGAGUGUUUGUUUCCAGAUUUUUUACUUUUACAUAUUCCUUCUGCUACUAAAUCUCUCUUACACGUGUGCAAACCGUAGGUUAUUUUUCUGUUGACGAAAGGUGGAGUAAAACAGGAUGACAUUGGAAAGGUUAUUGCUCUGGAUCCACAGCUCUUGGGCUGUAGUAUUGCACACAAGCUAGAAGUUAGUGUCAAGUAUUUCCGGUCAUUGGGGAUCUACCACUUUGUGCUCGGUCAGAUGGUUGCCAACUUCCCAGCACUUCUUAGAUACAACGUGGAUAUCCUAAGACCAAAAUACCAGUACUUGAGGCGUGUAAUGGUGCGGCCACUGAAAGAUCUCAUCGAGUUUCCACGGUGAGUUGGAGUUCAUGUUUUCUUCUAAAACAAAGAUAUUGAUAGCCUAAUUGAUGCCUAUCCUUGUGAGUUGUAAUUGAUGCCUGUCCUUGUUGUGAGUUGUGACCCUCACCCCUUGUGCCUCGCUGCUGGAUGGUUGUCAGGUUCUUCAGUUACUCCCUGGAGGACAGGAUAGAGCCUCGGCACCAAACACUGGUGGCCAACAGGAUCAACAUGAAGCUGCGGUACAUGUUGACUGGAUCUGAUGAAGAACUUGCAGAGAGGGUGCAGGAGGCCGUCGAGAGGAGAGCGAGAUUCGAAGCUGGAAAAGGUGUUGCAGAGACAAUUCCAGAUGCUCCAGAGACAUCUGAGGAGGAAGAAACUACAGAAGCAGCAGCAUGCUGAAACAGCGUGGAGGUAAAUUAGAUAGAUGUAGUAUUUCUGAAAAAAAAGAAAAGAAAAGAAAGAAAACAAUCAUAGCUUGCCUCCUUGCCUUGUACAUGUUCUGAAGGGAAAAAAACAGGUAUUUUAGAUUUUUUUUGAACUGUAACCCAGAAUGUAAAAGCACUAUGUUUGUAAUCCAUGAGCCAUGCCGAAUUAACAAAGAUAAAAAAGUAAAAUAUACGGCCGUCUGAACCUGUCACGGUGUCAUCUAGGUUACUAAACUUUCAAAAUGCAUUUUCAAGUGUUUGAACUUAUCUUAAGAUGGCAUCCGAGUCCUUAAACACUCAAAACACAUUUUCAAGUCUCUCAACUUAUCUCAGGGUGUCAUCCGAGUCUUUCAACUCUUAAAGUGUAUUUUAAGAUCCAUUAUCAAGUGCCAAGCAACACAUGCAUGAUCACUAGCAUUGCCAUCAGCGACAAAUGACAGGUUUUAGGAUUUGAAAAUGUAUUUUGAGAGUUUAGGAAUCCGGAUGAAACUUGAGGACAAGUUUGGGGGCUAAAUAUGCACUUUGAGAGUUUAAGCAUCUUGAGACAAGUUUGCGGAUAUGAAAAUGCAUUUUGAGAGUUCAGUGACCCGGAUAAAUACCAUCGUUGCUGUAUUUUAACUCUAGAUAAAAUUAUAGACAUUCUCUCAGUGAUCAAAAGUAAAAUCAUACACGUAUAAUAUUCAUGAAUACAUACAUGUGCAUACAUACAGAAUUACAAAACUAACAUAUGUAUGGAAAACUUUACACAAGAAUAGGGAUAAAAUGAAGCCAUCACAAGGAAAACACCAACUGACAACAGAACACAGACAUCUGUUUGAAACACUGCAGAGUGCGACGUAUGCGGCAUACGUGGCUUGCUUAAUUAGGCCUUGGGAGGUGGCGCCAGGAAGGGGAUUGUUGGCAUGCCGGGGAUGGACACGGACGGCAUCGGCGGCAGCGUCACCUUCGGCAUGCCAGGGAUCGGCGGCAGGGUCACCUUGGGCACGGCAGGCACGACG
RNAcentral lists this long non-coding RNA (50135 nucleotides) under Setaria viridis. Its description in RNAcentral is "long non-coding RNA (SVIR_LNC001207)". Lineage: Eukaryota; Viridiplantae; Streptophyta; Magnoliopsida; Poales; Poaceae. The record is from RNAcentral.